GCUGGUAGUAUGGCUUCCGAGCCAUACACGAGGAAAUAGGGUGAUAGCCCAGUAGUCUUGCAUGGUUGGGUACGUAGGCCCCACAGAGCAUUGGGUUGCUCUUUGAGCCAUUUGCUGCCUUUGGUGUUGCCAACGUCAUGUAGUCUUUUCUUCAGGGUGUCGAGUAUCAUGCCAUUAGCACGCUCGACUUGUCCAUUGGCUCGCGGGUGAGCGACCGAGACGUAGCGGACGUCGAUGCUGCUAUUCUCGCAAUAUUCCCAAAAGUCGUGAUUGUUGAAGUUUGACCCUAGGUCUAUGAUCAUCCUGUUGGGAAAGCCGCAGCGGUGUACGAUUUCAUCGAAGAAGUUGAGGACCCGGUCUGCCUUGGGGCAAGUGACUAGUUUGACCUCGAUCCACUUGGUGAAUUUGUUGAUUGCCACGAGUACUCGGUUGUAUCCUCUUGGCGCAAUUGGUACGGCCCUAUCAUGUUGAGCCCCCACCAGGCAAACGGCUGAGGAGGACAUCAACACCAACGAUACAUCAACACCAACACAAGUACCAGUUUCUGGUCCUAUAACUCGUGCCCGUGCUCGUCAACUUAAUCAUCAAGUAAGUUCACUCUUGAGUUCCUGUCCAUCCUAUUUAGACCAUGGAGAUGCGUGCACUCUUGUUUUAGUUAGGAACCAUGGAGAAGACCGAAAGGGAAACGGACUCGCGCAGGCUGGAUUCGGACUCCAGGAUAGUACCAACUUGUGAUGGUCACCACGGUCGCAUACGAACACGGAUUGGGGUGUUCAAGUACUUCACGGAUUUGUUAUGAAGUCUAUUUUCAUAUGGAUCUGGACUCAAGUAUAUAUCUGGUUUGAGGCGGUCGCAAUGACCAAUUUACUACUGAUAGGUUUUCUGGUGCUGCGUCACCUUAUUUUGGGAUUGUGGAGAACUAAGCUACUAAUUUUUUUGGCCUUUUCUGGACUAUAGGAAAUUAAAAAUAGCAAAGAACUAGAAGUCUCUCACCAAUAAACCUUGCUCUGAUUACCAACUGAUAUGAAUUCGCUAGGGUUGAUUCCCGAUUUUUCAAUGAGAGGCGUGGGAUAACUCGAUUGGUCAAUGGAGACGACGUUCACGACCCGACUACAGCCUUCCAAGCUACGCCUUAGCAACCGAUACACCACCUCCAAUGGCUGCCGUGAUCUUGUGGAGCACGUCACCCGGCCACUAGGGCACUCGUCCUGCAAGCAAUCAAAGAACAAGCAAGAACAAGUAUAACAAAUACUAAAUUUACUAGAUGAAGAUGAAGGUUUCCAACUCAAUCUCAAUAAGGUGGGAUUCUGAAGAUAGGAAGAUGGGCAGCUGAUCCAGCACGCGCGCAUACAAGCAAGUAGCGAGAGCUAAACUUGAUCUAAACAAAACCCAAUCUGUUUGUGGUGGCUCUAAUCCUUAUUAAUGCCUAGGAGGACAACCAGGAGGGUGUUGGGGUCGUGCUCCAACCCUAGGACAUGUCCCUAAUGGACCCAACUUCAUACACGGCCCAUUGGGCCAAAAUAAGGUGACGCAGCACCACAAAACCUAUCAGUAGUAAAUUGGUCAUUGCGACCCCCUCAGGCCAGAUAUAGACUUGAGUCUAGAUCCAUAUGAAAAUAGACUUUAUAAAAAAUCCGUGAAGUACUUGAACGUCCCAAUCCGUGUCCGUAUGUGACCGUGGUGACCAUCACAAGUUGGUACUGUCCUGGAGUCCGAAUCCAGCGUGCGAGAGUUUGUUUCCCUUUCGGUCUUCUCCAUGGUUCCUAACUAAAACAAGAGUGCACGCAUCUCCAUGGUCUAAAUAGGAUGGACAAGAACUCAAGAGUGAACUUACUUGAUGAUAAGUUGACGAGCACGGGCGCGAGUUAUAAGACCAGAAAUUGGUACUUGUGUAGGUGUGGAUGUAUCGUUGGUGUUGAUGUCCUCAUCAUCUCGUCCUGCAAGCAAUCGAAAAACUAGCAAGAACAAGUAUAACAAGUACUGAAUUUACUAGAUAAAGAUGAAGGUUUCUAACUAAAUCCCAAUAAGGUGGGGUUCCGAAGAUAGGAAGACGGGCGGCUGAUCCAGCACGCGCGCUUACAAGCAAGUAGCGAGAGCUAAACUUGAUCUAAACAAAACCCAAUCUAUUUGUGGUAGCUCUAAUCCUUAUUAAUGCCUAGGAGGAUGACCAGGAGGGUGUUGGGGUCGUGCUCCAACCCUAGAACAUGUCCCUAAUGGACCCAACUUCAUACACGGCCCAUUGGGCCAAAAUAAGGUGAUGCAGCACUAGAAAACCUAUCGGUAGUAAAUUAGUCAUUGCGACCGCCUCAGACCAGAUAUAGACUUCAGUCCACAAAUCCGUGAAGUACUUGAAUGCCCCAAUCCGUGUCCGUAUGCGACCGUGGUGACCAUCACAAUUUGGUACUGUCCUAGAGUCCGAAUCCAGCCUGCGCGAGUCCAUUUCUCUUUCGGUCUUCUCCAUGGUUCCUAACUAAAACAAGAGUGCACGCAUCUCCAUGAUCUAAAUAGGAUGGAUAGAAACUCAAGAGUGAACUUACUUGAUGAUUAAGUUGACGAGCACGGGCGCGAGUUAUAGGACCAGAAACUGGUACUUGUGUUGGAGAAAGUUAAUGAUAAUGCAUAUAAGCUCGAUCUGCCUGCCAAUUUUGGGGUUAGUCCCACAUUUAACAUUGCAGAUUUGAAGCCCUAUUUGGGAGAAGAAGACGAGCUUGAGUCGAGGAUGACUCAAAUGCAAGAAGGGGAGGAUGAUGAGGAUAUCAACACCAACGAUACAUCCACACCUACACAAGUACCAGUUUCUGGUCCUAUGACUCGCGCCCGUGUUUGUCAACUUAAUCAUAAAGUAAGUUCACUCUUGAGUUCCUGUCCAUCCUAUUUAGACUAUGGAGAUGUGUGCACUCUUGUUUUAGUUAGGAACCAUGGAGAAGACCGAAAGGGAAACGGACUCGCGCAGGCUAGAUUCGGACUCCAGGACAGUACCAACUUGUGAUGGUCACCACGGUCGCAUACGGACACGGAUUGGGGCAUUCAAGUACUUCACGGAUUUGUUAUAAAGUCUAUUUUCAUAUGGAUCUAGACUCGAGUCUUUAUCUGGUCUGAGGCAGUCGCAAUGACCAAUUUACUACCGAUAGGUUUUGUGGUACUGCGUCACCUUAUUUUGGCCCAAUGGGUCGUAUAUGAAGUUGGGUCCAUUAGGGACAUGUCCUAGGGUUGGAGCACGACCCCAACACCCUCCUGAUCAUCCUCCUAGGCAUUAAUAAGGAUUAGAGCUGCCACAAACAGAUUGGGUUUUGUUUAGAUCAAGUUUAGCUCUCGCUACUUGCUUGUAAGCGCGCGUGCUGGAUCAGCCGCCUGUCUUCCUGUCUUCGGAAUUCCACCUUAUUGAGAUUGAGUUGGAAACCUUCAUCUUCAUCUAGUAAAUUCAGUACUUGUUAUACUUGUUCUUGCUAGUUCUUCGAUUGCUUGCAGGACAAGUGCCCUAGUGGCCGGGUGACGCGCUCCACAAGAUCGCAGCAGCCAUUGGAGGUGGUGUAUCGGUUGCUAAGGCGCAGCUUGGAAGGCUGUAGUUGGGCCGUGAACGUCGUCUCCAUCGACCAAUCGAGUUUUCCCAUGCCUCUCAUCGAAAGAUCGGGAAUCAACCCUAGCGGGUUCAUAUCAACGGCCAUGUUGGAGGUAUUGUGACUAGCUUGUAGGCCGGUACAUAUUGCUGUUUGGUGAAGAAUUGGCAACCUUUGCACUUCUGGACUAGUUGUUUAGCGUCGGCUAAAGCCAUUAGCUAGUAGAAGCGUGCUCUGAAAGCUUUGCCAACUAUUGUCCGCGAAGAGGCAUGGUUGCCACAGAUUCCUUUGUGAAUUUCCUCUAAGAUUUCUUAGCCGUCUUCCUGGGUAACGCACUCCAUGAGUACUCCGGAUGAUGCACCUUUCCUAUAAAGCUUGUCUCCGACUAGGACGUAAUUUUUUACUCGCCGGGAGAUUUGUUCAGCCUUAUUUUUGUUGGAUGGUAACUGGUGAUCUUUAAUGUAGUUGAUGAAGGGUGUCCUCCAAUCCACUUCUAUCAUCAUGAUCUCACAAGAGACGUCAGCAGUCUGGACUGCUGGUGAUGUGACUUGGUUAGAUAUGGACGGCUUGCGCAGCUCGUGUACAAAAAUUCCUGCUGGAACCUCUGCACGGGUUGAGUCCAUUUUGGAUAAGACAUCAGCGGCAACGUUGUUGUCGCGGACGAUGUGAUGAAAUUCCAAGCCUAAGAACUUGUUUUCCAGCUUACGGACUUUUUUGCAGUAAGCGUUCAUGUUGUCCUUAUUCCAGUCCCACUCGUCAUUAACCUAGUUUCUAACGACUAGAGAGUCGCCGUACACCAACAAUCUUUUGAUGCCGAGGGAGAUUGCAAGGCGAAGGCCGUGUAAUAGUGCUUCGUACUCGGCUUCAUUGUUAGAUGCUUCCUAGAAGAUUUGCAGUACGUAUUUGAGCUGGUCUCCCUUGGGGGAGAUGAGUAAUACGCCUGCACCGGCCCCUUUGAGUUUGAGGGACCCAUUGAAGUACAUUACCCAGUGUUCUGGCCGUUCAACUUGUGUUGGUACUUGAUUUUCAGUCCAUUCAGCAAUGAAGUCGACCAAAGCUUGGGAUUUGAUAGCUGUCCUUGGCUUGAAGUCCAAGGAGAGAGCUCCAAGUUCAACUGCCCAUUUGGAGAUUCUACCCGUGGCAUCUCUGUUGUGAAGAAUUUUGCCGAGCGGGAAGUCGGAGAUGAUUGUGAUGUUGUGCUCUUGGAAAUAAUGGCGCAGUUUCUGGGAGGUGAGCAGAAUUUCAUAUAAGAGCUUUUGUAUCGGUGAAUACCGAGUUUUGGAGUCCGAGAGUACUUCGCUAACGAAGUAGAAAGGUCAUUGGACCUUGUAAGCGUGGCCCGGUUCAGACCGUUCGACUACUAUUGUCGUGCUGAGGACAUGAGUAGUAGCUGAUAUGUAUAGGAGCAAGUCUUCAUUUGGAGAAGGAGCGGUGAGUACAGGAGGCUUUGACAGAAAGUCUUUGAGUUGUGUUAGUGCCUUGUCUGCCUCUUCCGUCCAUUUGAACUUGUCCUGGCGUUUGAGAAGCUUAAAGAAGGGUAGUCCCCGUUCUCCAAGUCUCAAGAUGAACCGAUUGAUAGCAGCCAUGCAGCCUGUGAGUUUCUGCACAUCCUUGAUGCUAGCUGGUGCUUGCAUGUUUGUGAUGGCAGAUAUUUUUUCUGACUUGGCCUCAAUGCUGCGAUGGCUAAUGAUGAACCCGAGUAGUUUGCCGGAAGGUACUCCAAAGACGCACUUAGUACGAUUGAGUUUCCAUCGGAAAGUGCGUAGACUGGAGAAAGUCUCCUCCAAAUCCACAAUGAGUUCCUACUGGUUUCUUGUUUUGAUGACUACGUCAUCAACAUAAGCUUCGACAUUGCGAUGAAGUUGCUUCUCGAAGCACAUCUGGAUAGCUUGUUGAUAGGUUGCCCCUACAUUUUUUAGUCCGAAGGACAUUGUUUUGUAGCAGAAAACUCCGAAAGGCGUGAUGAACACUGUUUUGGCUUGAUCUUCUUCUUUGAGGCUUAUCUGAUGAUAGCCAGAGUAGUAGUCGAGAAAGCAUAGUAAAGUGCAACCAGUGGUGGAGUCGACCACUUGAUCGAUCCUGGGUAGCCCGAAAGGGUCUUUUGGGCAGUGUUUCUUGAGGUCGGUGUAGUCGACACACAUUCUCCACUCGUUGUUUUUCUUACGAACGAGCACGAGGUUGGCGAGCUAGUCAGGGUGAAAGACUUCUUUGAUGAAUCCCGCCGCGAGUAGCUUGGCUAACUCUUUUUUGAUUGCUUCUCAUCUGUCUUGAGCGAACCGGCGAAGUCGUUGCCAUUUUGGAGUAGCUUUGGGAUCGACAUUUAGAGAAUGCUCAAUCAGCUCCUUAGGCACACCUAGCAUGUCAGCCGGUUUCCAAGCGAAGAUAUCAUGGUUAGCCUGAAGGAAGCUGACGAGCACGAAUUCCUAUUUAGGAUCUAGCCCUGUUCCGAUCAGGGCUGUCUUGGAAGGGUCGCCCGUCUGGAGGUCGACUGGUUUGAAGUCUUGCUCGCUGGCGGGUUUCACCUUUGUAGACCCUGACUUAUUUUCUGGGAUCUCUAGUUCGGUUGGGUGGAGCUUCUUUGAGGCUGUGAAGACUUGUUGCAUGGGAUUAGGUGCUUGAGAAGUUGCAGCAAUUUCCACGGCUUCAGUGUCGCAUUCGUAGGAUCGCCAUAGAUCUCCUCGCAGCGCUAGUUCUCCCUUGGAGCCUGGCAUUUUGAGUACCAAGUAAACAUAAUGUGGUAUGGCCAUGAACUUGGCAAGUGCUGGCCUGCCGAGUAUGGCAUGGUAAGAUGUCUUGAAGUCGACGACUUCAAAUCUGAUGUACUCGGUACGGUAGUGUUCUUUAGUUCCAAAGGUGACUGGAAGGACAACUUGUCCUAGUGGUAUAGUCGCAUUUCUGGGCACGAUACCAUAGAAAGGUGAAUCUGUUGGAGUAAUCAUUUCAGUGAUGUCGAGGCACAUCUUCCUCAAUGUCUUGGCGAAAAUAACGUUAAGUCCACUUCCGCCAUCGAUGAGUACUUUGGUUAACUUUGAGCCUACCACAACCGGAUCGAGUACUAGAGGAAAACGGCCUGGUUCUGAGAACUUGGUCCAUUGGUCCUUUCUGCUGAAGGAAAUGGGCACCUCUGACCAUUUUAGCGGUGUUGGAUCCAUUGGUUCAAUGGCCAUGAUCUCCCUGAGUACGAGUUUGUUGGCUUGCCUGGAUGCGGUGCUUGGAAUACUGCCAAAGAUGACAUUGACAGUUUUUGAGGCGGUCUGGAAGUCACCAUCUUCGUCUUCGUCGUUGUGGACUUUGCUCUUGCCCUUAUCUUUUUUCUUGGUGUAUUCUUCAGGGGGUGGUGCUGUGGAUAAGUCUUGCAUUACUCAGCGCAUGCUGUAGCAGUCUAUUGCCGAGUGCGUGCUAGUCGGGUGCCAUGGGCACCGCUUUUUGAGUAGCUCGGUGAAGGUUGGCCCUUCAUCAUUUUUAUGGGAUCCCUUUUUCCCAGAGUUGGUCAUGGCAGCAAUAGUGUUGUCGGGCUUCCUUUUGCAGUUGUGAUUACCCGAAUAGUUGUUUCGAGUAUCAUUGUGUCGAGUUCUAUCUUGAUCAUUGUUAUUGUUGUCGCGUCCACGGUUACGGUUGGAGCCAAAACGUUCUCGCUCUUUGUCUUCUUCAUCCGCCCACUGUUGCACCAUGACUUUGAGGUCUUUGACAUUAGCUGGUUGUCGGCGACCGAAGUCUUGGUAUUUUCAUCGAUCGUAGAGUCCAUUCUGGAAGCACUCGAUGACGUCUAUUUCUGAAAUGUCAACUAUGGUAAUCUUCUUUUUGAAGAACCAUCGCAGAUAAUCAUGUAAGGUCUUGCCUUCUUUUUGCUUAAUUUGACUUAAGUCAAUCUUGUUACCUGGUCUAGCCAUGGAGCCGGCGAAGUUGUUGGUGAAAGCCUUUGUCAGGUCUGCCCAAGAAUCAAUGGACUUGGGUUUGAGUGACUCAAGCCAGGUCAGUGGUGCGGGUUCCAUGCAUAUGGGGAAGUGGAUAACUUUGGUGUCGUUAUUGCCCCCGGCUGCUUGGACGGCUAGCGAGUAGCAUCAUAGCCAUUGAAUUGGGUCUUGUUUGCCAUCAUACUUGGUGAUUCCAGUUAGCUUAAACUUCUCGGGUAGUUUUGUUUUCAUUACCUGGUUUGUGAAAGUAGGAAAGUGGUUGUAGUUGUCAAAGUCUCGCUCGCGCCGACUAUUGAGGAUUUCUCGCAGAUCAAUAAAGUUGGACACUUCGUGGUUCUUCCGAGUAGGGCAAAUACUUUUGACCGAGUUGGUGCAGCUGACCUCUCCAAUAUCCUUAUGGCGUACUGGGGCCUUGUGUUUGCUUGGGCCUUGGCUGUUGUGGCGGAACACCUCGGAUUAACUCAACUAAAGUACGGUUAAGUCGCUUAACACGCGAAUCUCAUGCUUCAAUCGAGUUAACUCGACGAUCCGUCAGAUUUCAUCCGAUUUAACCACUAGAACAGGACCGAGUUAGCAUAGCUCACACGAAGGUGAAUGGUUUCAGAGAAUACAAAAGAUCCACAAUCAGUUCAACAAUUCAUUACACACUGGUUUGAAAUCAGAGUUUUACAAGGUUCGAAAAACAACUGAAGUAAAAAAAAUAUAGCGGAAGCUAGCGCCGGGGUCGGAUAUCCCUGAUGAGGCCAAACAGGACAUCAGUGAUCCCACUCCUCGCCGUCCGAGGAAGGAUCCUACUCGAACGUCCACCCAGGAGGGAGCUGGGGCGGCCAAGUGCCAACAGCAGCAUGCUCGGAAGUUUCAAAUUCACCUGAAAAGAGAUGCCACAACAAGGUUGAGCUUCUAAGCUCAACAAGACUUAACCGACCGGUGGGAAAACUACUCCACCACUUCUAGACAUGCAAGACUCUUUUGCUGAGGGAUUUUGUUUGCUAAAAGCAACUAUGUUAGGUCCUUACUUUCAAAGUUUCAGCUCAGAUUCUAAGUUCAUUAACCAGUCUACAUUGGCAAUUUAUACUAAACAAGCAUAGAUCCAAACAUUAUGUGUAUAAACUCAACAGCAAGUUCAUGUCAUCAUCAGAUUCCUUCUUUACUCAGUGUAGCAUAGCGAUCAAGCAGUCUCAAACUGUGAGUGGCAGACGAAUCGAUUCGAGUUCCUUAACCAUGCAUGGCGAACCUAACCUCACAAUAUCCGUGCACCACCGAGGGUCGCUUCCUAUGUCGGCCGUCCCCAUCAAUUCCCUAACCCGUGUCGAGCCCACUUCUCUUGGUGCAAGGUUCCACAGACCUGGCCUCUGCCGUUCUGUGACCACACUUGCCACCACAUGCGGCCGUAGGGGAAACUCCAUUCCAGAGAUAGUGGAUCGAACCGCUCACGUCCAGGUUCAAUCAGUUACUAGGCUUCCCCAUCCCAUAAUGGGUAUGAGAUUAGUACUUUCAAACACUUGAUCACGAACACCACCACUGUCGGGCCAUAAACAGAUUCAAGUAAACAGAUGGGGCGAUCAGCUGACCACCAAAAGAGUUCACCAAGCCCUGCCCCGUCCAUUAUCCUUAUAGUUGUAACCAGAAGGAGAACAACCAACUCCUAUAACUCGCGAGUGACAGGAAAUCACUCGACUUUUACCGAGUCCUAUUAAGCAUUGCAACUACUCGGACUCAACGAACUAGUGUUUAUAUCAAGGGAACUAGUUCAUGCAUCUAUGGUUUCAAACAACUUAUAUACGUAAAUGCACAUACAUAUGAAGGAAGGCAUGUGCAAGUUUAGAAAGUUGGGUUCAUGCUCCAGGCCUUGCCUUCGAGCAGGGUGCAAGCAAACUGGUCCUCAGCAGUUUCUGCUUCAGCUCCGUCGGUCGGCAGCUCAGCUACUGCUCCGUCUUCUAGCGCCAGAUGCAGUUCGUAGGUGCCGUCGGCGAGAUUUAGCUCUAGACAAAUGUAAUGCAGGAGUUAGCACUUAGACGGUUAUUUCAACAACACUUGCACGUUCAGCUCAGACACUUGUAGCAAAGCUACAGGAAAGGCGGAUGAGUCCAACUUCAGUUGGUGGUGCACAGGAUAAAAGGGUCGGAUGGGGAGAAACUUAUGAUCUGACCCUUAGACUUAAGGAAUAACUGUACCGGGGUUCUCGGACUUAACAUAGGGGAAUCCCUAAAAUUUUACAAAGAUACCCUCGGGUCAAAGAAAAAGAUACAGCCGAGCCCUCGGGCGAAGCGGAUAAGGGUCAGCGAAACAGGCAGGGUCGGACGAGACGAAAAAAGGGGUCGAACGAACCAAACAGGGUCAGCAGUUUACCUUUAGGCCUACUGGUGAAGUCUUGGGGUCGGGAAGGAACAGACUUAGGUAGAAAGACUAAAGCACUAAGGCUUGGAAGGCGGCGAGGUUCGACGGUGCUCCGGCGGCGGCGGUGCUUCUUGUGGACAACAAGCAAGCUCUAGCACCGUGCGGAGGAUCAGGCGGCUGGUGGGUUGGGGAGAAGCUAGUUUGAGCAGAUAGGGGAACUUAUCAAGAGCUCAAGCGGCAGUGCUCAAGUGCGAGCAGAGUAGGGCGCGGCGAAACAGCGAUGGCGAAGGAAACUCCGGUGGGGGCUCUGGUACUCCUCUUUAUAGCUGCGCGGAAGAGAGAGUUGAGUAGGGCGAAGAUCGGGAAGAAAAGGAUGGAGUGCGCUGUCUUGGCGGCGAUUGAGCGGCGAUGGGCGGCGAAGCAGAGCUUCGGGGAUAGGGUGUUUGGCCAUUGGGCACUGGAGACAAGGCCGGCGCAGGCGCGAUUUUGCCGGGAUUAAGAUUUGGCGAAGGCGGGCAAGGUCUGGUCGCGUCAAGUGGCGGAUUGUGGGCAGCGACUUGAUUGGCGUGUGACAGGAAGGAAGGCACUACAAGCGAGGUCGCAGCAGGCAAGGUGACAGGGCGAGCGGCGGCGUGAGUGAGCGCAAAACAGCGGCUUGCCGGGGCACAUCACUGGUGAGGCGGAAAAAAGAGCUGUCCCUGCCGGAGCCAUGGUUGGCGGGGGCGGUAUCGUCGUGGAGCGUGCUCGUGGGUGGCGUGACUGUGGAGAGGCGGAAAAGCCGGAAAGCAUCGGGAGGGUGCGAGCGAGACGAGGCGAGGCAGAAAGGGCUGCAGGGGCUUCCGCUGCGAUUGGGAGGAAGGUGCGCUGAUCUAUCUUGUCGCGGUCGGCGACUGGGUGAGGCGGCACGUGUCGGAGAGAUCGAGCCACGCGGCGGUGAAGCUCUGAAGCGGGACGCACGCUGGCUCUGGCGCGUCUGACUCAAGAAAACCGGGGAUCUGGUUGUGGGUCCACCACUCAGUCUCUAGUUCUCCCACAGCUCUAAGAUUUUGGAGGAGCGCUGCCUCGGGACUUAGAGAAGAGUUGCUGUUUGCCGGUUGGUGCGGUUUUAGGGGUCGGACCGGUGGAACUGCAGAUUGGGAUUAGCCUUGAGAUUAACUAGGCUGGUUAACCAGGGUCGUUACAGCCUAACCCCCUUAAAAAGAAUCUUUUCCCGAGAUUCGGGUGUAAGGGUAACCAGUGGGGGUGUGCGGUCCUUACCCUCUUGGUUGAAAAGAAAACCUCUGAAGUGCGUGUUCAGAUACUCCUCUGUUUCCCAGGUUGCUUCUUCCUUCGUGUGGUUGCUCCAUAGUAUCUUGUACAUUUUCACAACUUGCCAUCGGGUGUGUCUUUCUUUAUGAUCGAGGACUUUGGCCGGGUACUCGGCAUAAGUCAGGUCGGGCUCGAUUUGAAGUUGCUCCUGUUCCAAGACCUCAAUUGGGACUUGGACACAUUUCUUCAGUUGGGAUACAUGGAAAACAUCAUGAAUGGCCGAAAGCUGUUCUGGUAGUUGGAUCCGGUAAGCAACUAGUCCACAUAGUUCCACAAUCUCAUAAGGACCAAUGUAACGGGGAGCCAAUUUUCCCUUUACUCCAAACCGUUGCACUCCUUUGGUCGGGGAGACUCGAAGAUAUACGUGAUCACCAAUGUCAAACCGGAGGGGUCUCCUUCUCCUGUCGAAGUAACUCCUUUGUCGAGAUUGGGCUGCCUUGAGGUUUGCCUGAAUCACCCUAACUUGUGCUUCGGCUUCUACUACUAAAUCAGGACCAUAUGUUUGUCUUUCUCCAACCUGUGACCAACUCAACGGUGUCCGACAUCUCCGACCAUAUAAGGCUUCAAACGGUGCCAUCUUCAAGCUAGUCUGGUAGCUAUUGUUAUAGGAGAAUUCUGCCAAGGGUAAGCACUUAUCCCAAUUCUUGUCAUAAUGGAUGACACAAGCUCGUAGCAUGCCUUCAAGGAUCUGAUUUACUCUCUCGGUCUGGCUAUCGGUUUGCGGGUGAUAGGUCGAGCUACGAAUGAGUUUGGUGCCAAGUGAUGCUUGUAGCUGUUCCUAAAAAUGCGCUACAAACUGAACACCUCGAUCAGAUAUGAUCAUCCUGGGCACACCGUGCAGAGAAAUAAUGCGGUCAAGAUACAGCUCUGCAUAUUUCUUAGCCGGGUAGGUGGUGUGAACCAGAAGAAAGUGGGCAGACUUGGUAAGGCGAUCCACGAUAACCCAAAUGGAGUCAUGUCGAUGCGGCGUAGGGGGCAGUCCAACAAUGAAAUCCAUACUGAUGUCUUCCCAUUUCCAUGAUGGGAUAGGUAGCGGUUGUAGGGUACCUGCUACCUUCAAAUGGUUGGCCUUGACACGUUGGCAGGUGUCACAUCCCGAAACAUAGCGUGCAAUUUCGGGCUUCAUUCCAUUCCACCAAAAAGUUUGACGGAGAUCAUGAUACAUCUUAUUACUGCCAGGAUGGAUUGAGAACUUGGAGAUAUGAGCUUCAUCUAGGUGUUUCUUCUUAAGAGCGGGGUCGGAUGGGAUAACCAGUCGAUUCCCAUAGUACACUCUCCCAUUUCCAUCCUGUCGGAAUUGUUUAUGCCCCUCAUCCCUUUGUGCAAUCUUCCUUUUAAUUUGCCUUAUUCCCUCAUCCUCUAGCUGCGAUGACUCAAUUUGGUCCUCCAGAACAGACUCAAGGGAGAUAUGACCGAGGGUUCCAUGGGAAACAAUUUCCAAACUAAGCUUUUCCAUCUCAUUACACAGGUUUCUAUGAAGUUGGUUGCAGUCAAGCAAUUGCAAUGGGUCUUGCGGCUAAGAGCAUCUGCCACUACGUUGGCUUUGCCGGGGUGAUAAUGUACUUCCAAAUCCUAGCCCUUGAUCAGCUCUAGCCAUCUUCUUUGUCGCAUGUUGAGUCGACUUGAGUAAAGAUGUACUUGAGGCUCUUAUGGUCGGUGUAGAUGUUGCACCGGGUGCCCAUCAGAUAGUGUCUCCAUAUCUUAAGGCAUAAAUAACUACUGCUAACUCAAGAUCAUGGGUCGGGUAGUCUAGCUCAUGAGAUCGCAAUGCAAGUGAGGCAUAGGCAACGACUCGGUUGUCUUGCAUAAGAACACACCCAAGUCCAGUGCCAGAGGCGUCACAGUAUACGUCAAACGGCCUGGAAGGGUCGGGUUGAGCUAAAACUGGGGCAGAAGUCAGCAGGUGUUUUAAGGUGUGGAAAGCUUCUUCGCACUUGUGGCUCCACACAAACUUGACUUCCUUUCUCAGUAGCUUGAUCAUCGGCUUAGCUAUCUUUGAGAAAUCUGGAAUGAAACACCGAUAGUAGCCUGCUAGUCCAAGAAAGCUGCGGAUUUGCUGAACUGAUGUGGGUGACUUCCAGUCCAUGACCUCCUGUACCUUGCUGGGGUCCACUGCUAUGCCGUUCCGAGAGAUUGUGUGUCCCAAGAACUUGACACUCUCCAACAAGAAUUCACACUUGGAGAACUUAGCAUAAAGCUGAUGAUCCCUCAACCGCUAAAGAACCACAUGAAGAUGCUCGGGAUGUUCUUCUUUGUUCUUCGAGUAUACCAGAAUAUCAUCAAUGAACAUCACCACGAACUUGUCCAGCUCGAGCAUGAACACUGAAUUCAUGAGAUACAUGAAAUAAGCGGGUGCAUUGGUGAGUCCAAAGGACAUAACCAGGUACUUGUAGAGUCCAUAUCUUGUGUAGAAAGCAGUUUUGGGAAUGUCACAGGGUCGGAUCUUGAUUUGGUGAUAACCGGAACGAAGAUCAAUCUUGGAGAACACUCUAGCUCCAGCUAAUUGGUCAAACAGAACAUCAAUGAGGGGAAGGGGAUACUUAUUCUUGACAGUCACUGCAUUGAGGGGUCGGUAGUCCACACACAUGCGUAGACUUUCAUCCUUCUUCUUCACAAACAGGGCUUGGCAACCCCAAGGUGAAGUACUGGAUUGGAUAAAGCCUUUCUCCAACAGAUCAUGCAAUUGGGUUUUCAACUCGGCCAACUCGGCGGUGGCAUUCGAUAGGGUCUCUUCGAUAUCGGGGCGGUGCCUGGCUGUAGUUCAAUGGCAAACUCGAUAUCUCUAUCCGACGGCAUGCCGGACAUGUCAUCCGGAAACACAUCGGGGUACUCACAGACAACAGGAAGGUCUUCUAUCCGGGCUUCCAUUACAGGGUACGCACAAGGAGUUGCGUAUUCAGGGUGGGUCAAGCGUAGGGUAGAGUUGCCAUGCAAAGGUGAGUUGAUGUGGAGAGCUCGAGCAGCUACGUCCAGAACCACCUGGUGUCGGGUCAUCCAAUCCAUCCCCAAGAUGACAUCUAUUACUUCUAGGUCAAGGAUGAUGAGAUUCUCCCUAAAAAGAAUCUAGCCUAACUAGAUAGGCACAAGGUUAACUAUCUUGUCUGAAGCUAUUUUCCUUCCCGGGGUGGAGAUCACAUAUGACCCUUUGGUGUGACCAACGCUCAGCUUACAUCUCUCACCAGUCUUAUUCCCGAUGAAGCUAUGGGAUGCUCCCGAGUCAAACAAAACAACAACAAUUUGAUUAUGGACAAGGAAGGUACCCGUCAUUACUGGCGCACCUUCGGGGAGGUUGGUUAGGAUGGUGUAGUUGAGCCGACCUUGGUGAACCUGCACCUUGGGCUUUCUUCCCCUGUUGGCUAUGGGGUUUUGGCCGGGUCGCUGAUUCUUGUUUCUGGGGUAGUCCUUGGUCAAGUGCCCUUCAUUACCACAGGUGAAGCAGCGGUUACCAUUUGCAGGGCACGGUGGCGGCGAUAAGGUUGGCCGGGGCGCCUGCGGGUGAAAACCGGGGAAACGAGGUGCCGCUGGUGGUGGAGGACGAGCAACCCAUCGUCCCAACUGCUUUGGUCUGUGGGGCACCUGAGGGGGAACCAUUCUGAAUCUUCGAGCGGGCGGGCUUGGCAAUGCCACUGAGGCCUUCCGCUUCUGAUCGGCCUUGAGGGCCUGCAUACAAUCUUCUUGGGAGAUGGCCAGAUUCACUAGCUCAUUAUAGGUAUCCACCUUGACAGGGUUCAACCUCUCCUUGAGCUCCAAGCUUAAACCUCUACGAAACCUAUCCCUCUUCUUUACGUCGGUAUCCACGUGAUAGCCUGCAUAGCGGCACAGGUUGUUGAAGGCUUGCGCGUAAUGCAGAACAUCGUGGCUUAUCUGGGUAAGAGCCAAGAACUCAUUGAGUUUACGCUCUAGAAGACCUUCUGGAAUGUGGUGCCCUCUGAAAGCGGUCUUGAACUCAUUCCAGCUGACGACAUGGUCGGCCGGCAACAUGGCAUGGUAGUGAUCCCACCAAAGCUGGGCGGAACCACGCAGUUGUUGAGCUGCGAAUCGAGCCUUGUUCUGGUCGGGGCACGAGGUGGUGAGGAGUUCGAAUUUGGAUUCGAUCGUGCGAACCCAUGCGUCGGCGUCGAGAGGGUCCUCUAUCUUGUGGAAGGUCGGGGGCUGCGUGCUCAAAAAGUCUUCAUAGCGAGCAACCGGAGGUUGCUGAUGAGCCCUCCCUCCAUGGGGCUACUGCUGUUGCCCUUGGACAAUGUGCCUCAGCAGCUCAGUUUGAGCUGCCAAGAUGGCUUCCAGCGAAGGCCGAGGUGGAGGCAGGGGAAGGUCCUACCACUGCUCACUGCCACUGGGCACAGAGCCGGAUCGGGUGCGGUGUGCCAUCUGCAAGAGUCAACGUUCCAUUAGUUUCAUAACCCCAGAAGUAUUCCAAUCAUGCGGGAAUGUAGGUGUUGAAUCCUUAAAUGCGACUCUUGCCGAUAGUGCAACACAACAACAUAUCUUUAUUAAGGAGGUGUACACCUCUCCUUGCCAUCCUAGUUGGCAACUAGCUUGGUUCUGCAUGGUCAUAUUACUUUGCUAACUGAUCAGAAAGGUGUUUCAAUCCACACUCAGUAGGUUCUGCAACAUCCGUGUUCUCAUCGGCUGGUCUGCAAACAACCUUAGGUGAGUCAAAACCUCAUCCCAUGGGUUCCACUAUGUCCGACCUUAAGUGCUCGAGUCAGGCAAAGCGGAGCCGUGCAACAAGGGGUUGGGCGAGGCGGAGACCUGCCGCGAGGGGUCGGGCGCAUCCGACCUUGCGACCCGGGGUCAGCCACACUUUGGACAGACCCAAAGGAACGGAAACCUGCGUGCGGUCACAGCACAAAAACACACAACUUCGGCAUCCAAGGCGGAUCCCAAAAGGAACUGAUUCUACCAAGAUCAUUAUAUUGCUGGUCCUUUAACACAAGAGGAGCACUCAACUCAAGGCUAACCUAUUACAUUCCUAUCCAAAAUUUAGGUUGCCGAGGAGUACAACAAAAGAUUAGCUUCCUACAGUCUUCAACCUAAAAGUUAUCUAGGUUGCCUACUGAGGGAACACUAUGCGUUGGAGAAGGGGCAUCGCCAUCUUCAAUGUCCAUACUGGACGCUCCCACUACCUCCUCAGGGUCUUCUUGCUCGUCCAGCUACAUUUCCAAGGCAUGGAUGGCAUCAAGCUCGGCGUGGUGCUCGUCCAAGUGUGCGUUAGCAACCGCGAGCUCCAUCUCAACCUCCAUCUUUUCUUCGGCAAGCUGAAUCAUGUCAUGCUCCAUGUCCGUCACUUCUUCUUCAAGCUCAGAAAUCCUGGCCUGCAUAUCAUUGACCUGUAUGCUCCUCUGGAUGAGCUGAUACGACCGUUCCACCAAGUCUCUCUUGGCGGUGUUGAAAUGCUCCUAGGUGUCUACGGCUAUCUGAGCCAAGACAGCCAUAGCCCGGCCUUGAAGCUCAAUCAGUCGGUACAAAGCUGACAUGCACGUGGUGGUAGUAGAGAGGGAGACCAACGAGUGGGAGGCUACCAGCACCUCCAUGUUGUUGAUGCGAUCAAGCCAAGCCGGGUCCAGCCGAUCCCUAGCGGGAAACAAACCGAUCGGGUCCAAAAGGACCUCAAGCGGGUGUAGCCAGCAAAACUGGGUGAGAGCCUGUAGGGCAGCCGACUCCCAGGUGUCCUCCAGGGCGUGACCGUGGGUCGAGACCUCGAGCUGGGGCCACUCAGGCUGUACAGAGGGUGGAGGUACAACCACUUGCAUGUUGCACCGCUGCACCCCAUGCUCCUAGUACUCCCGUCCCGCGUAAAUAGGCGGUGAGUGGUACCCAAACCACCUCAAGGUAUCCCACAAAAUAUCAGGAAAACCCUCGAAGUGUAGGCACGUGGAGUGGGAAGUGCCAUCAGCGCCGCGAAACACAUGUCCAGGAGUAGCCAUCUGGAACCAAGAACCGAAACAAGCGUGAGAUAGAAACCCCAAGGAGAACAGAUCGGGCAGAGUGAGAUACUCGGAUUUCUGACUAGAGCGCAAGCUGAGAAGGUAACUAGAAAUCCUUAAAGCGAAGAAGAGCUUUACCAGGGCAAGGUUAUUUUAGAGAGGUGGUUUCACAGAUUUUAGUUCAUGACGCAUGCACGACCUACCUCGUCCUCUCAACCAAAACAAUUGCCAAAAGCUUUGGUCUUACGCGGUUAGCGCCGGUGGCAAGGCAACAAGUACGUCGCUUCCUAUAGUAGCUAGUCGGUUUCUAGCAGCGUUUCCCUAAGCGAACGCGGUUAGUGUACCUGCAGAAAAACACAACCACAUGAAUCUUUCGUGCCAGCACUCACGAAAGCGUCCCCAAGCAUUACCGUUCACUAUAGAAACGGCACCCAUGCGUUUAACGCUGCAUGGACAGCACAACAACCGUGGAAAUAAACCCCCUUUGAAUGGAACCAUAUAACCCGCAUACUCGAUAUGCGGAAUCUGCGCACGUAUCAUAGACGUGGGUGAACAACCAUGAUGAUAGGCGCAUUGGAAUCGAACCAUACCACCCUUCGCAUGAAUUAACAUACGGAACCUGCGCACGUAUGAUAAACGUGGGCGAAACAACCGCGAUGAUAGGGUCCUUUGAAUAGAACUCCCUAUCAACCCUCGCAUACUCGUGAUGCGGAACUCGGCACACGUAUGAUACAUGUGGCGAAGUGUUGGGGGUUAACAGAAUAACCAAUAAGUAGUAGCCACCUAAAAUAACCUCAAAAUCCCCUAGGACCUCUUGUACUAAGGUCAUCCUUAACGAUCGUACGAGAUUUUCUUGCAAAUUUUAUUAAAAAAGAACGUGUUUUAGGACCCGUUGUGUUCUCUGUCCUGCUAAACCAACUCUGGUACCAGUUGUGGCGGAACACCUCAGAUUAACUCAACUAAAGCACGGUUAAGUCGCUUAACACGCGAAUCUCAUGCUUUAAUCGAGUUAACUCGACGAUCCGUUGGAUUUCAUCCGAUUUAACCACUUGAACAGGACCGAGUUAGCAUAGCUCACACGAAGGUGAGUGGUUCCAGAGAAUACAAAAGAUCCACAAUCUGUUCAACAAUUCAUUACACACUAGUUUGAAAUCAGAGUUUUACAAGGUUCGAAAAACAACUGAAGUAGAAAAAAAUUAAAGCGGAAGCUAGCGCCAGGAUCGGAUGUCCCUGAUGAGGCCAAAUAGGACAUCAGUGAUCCCACUCCUCGCCGUCCGAGAAAGGAUCCCACUCGACCGUCAACCCAAGAGGGAGCUGGGGCGGCCAAGUGCCAACAGCAUCACGCUAGGAAGUUUCAACUUCACCUAAAAAGAGAUGCCACAACAAAGCUGAGCUUCUAAGCUCAACAAGACUUAAACGACCGGUGGGAAAACUACUCCACCACUUCUAGACAUGCAAGGCUCUUUGGCUGAGGGGUUUUGUUUACCAAAAGCAACUAUGUUAGGUCCUUACUUUCAAAGUUUCAGCUCAGAUUCUAAGUUCAUUAACCAGUCUACAUUGGCAACUUAUACUAAACAAGCAUAGAUCAAACAUUAUGUGUAUAAACUCAAUAGUAAGUUCAUGUCAUCAUCAGAUUCCUUCUUUACUCAGUGUAGCAUAGCGAUCAAGCAGUCUCAAACUGUGAGAGGCAGACGAAUCGAUUUGAGUUCCUUAACUAUGCAUGGCGAACCUAACCUCACGACAUCCGCGCACCACCGAGGGUCGCUUCCUGUGUCGGCCAUCCCCAUCAAUUCCCUAACCCGUGUCGGGUCCACUUCUCUCGGUGCAAGGUUCCACAGACCCGGCCUCUGCCGUUCUGUGACCACACUUGCUACCACAUGCGGUCGCAGGGGAAACUCCGUUCCAGAGAUAGUGGAUCAAACCGCUCAUGUCCAGGUUCAAUCAGGUACUAGGCUUCCCCAUCCCAUAAUAGGUAUGAUAUUAGUACUUUCAAACACUUGAUCACGAACACCACCACUAUCGGGCCUUAAACAGAUUCAAGUAAACAGAUGGGGCGUUAGCCGACCACCAGAAGAGUUCACCAAGCCCUGCCCCGUCCAUCGUCCUUAUAGUUGUAACCAGAAGGAGAACAACCAACUGCUAUAACCCGCGAGUGACAGGAAAUCACUCGACUUUUACCGAGUCCUAUUAAGCAUUGCAACUACUCGAACUCAACGAACUAGUGUUUAAAUCAAGGGAACUAGUUCAUGCAUCUAUGGUUUCAAACAACUCCUAUACAUAAAUGCACAUACAUAUGAAGGAAGGCAUGCGCAAGUUUAGAAAGUUGGGUUCAUGCUCCAGGGCUUGCCUUCGAGCGGGGUGGAGGCAAACUGGUCCUCAGCGGUUUCUGCUUCAGCUCCGUCGAUCGGCAGCUCAGCUACUGCUCCGUCUUCUAGCGCCGGAUGCAGUUCGUAGGUGUCGUCGGCGAAAUUUAGCUCUACACAAAUGCAAUGUAGGAGUAAGCACUUAGACGGUUAUUUCAACAACACGUGCACGUUCAGUUGGUGGUGCACAGGAUAAAAGGGUCGGAUGGGGAGAAACUUAUGAUCUGACCCUUAGACUUAAGGAAUAACUGUAUCGGGGUCCUCAGACUUAACACAAGGGAAUCUCCAAAAUUUUACACUGAUACCCUCGGGUCAAAGAAAAAGAUACAGCCGAGCCCUCGGGCGAAGCGGAUAAGGGUCGGCGAAACAGGCAAGGUCGGGCGAGACGGAAAAAGGGGUCGGGCGAACCAGACAGGGUCGGCAGUUUACCUUUAGGCCUACUGGUGAAGUCUUGGGAUCGGGAAGGAACAGUCUGAGGCGGAAAGACUAAAGCGCUAAGGCUUGGAUGGCGGCGAGGUUUGACGGUGCUUCGGCGGCGGCGGUGCUUCUUGUGGACAACAAGCAAGCUCUAGCACCGUGCGGAGGAUUAGACGGCUGGUGGGUUGGGGAGAAGCAGGUUUGAGCAGAGAGGGGAACUUAUCAAGAGCUCAAGCGGCAGUGCUCAAGUGCAAGCAGAGUAGGGCGCGGCGAAACAGCGAUGGCGAAGGAAACUCCGGUUGGGGCUCCGGUACUCCUCUUUAUAGCUGCGUGGAAGAGAGAGAGUUCAGUAGCACGAAGAUCGGGAAGAAAAGGAUGGAGUGCGCUGUCUUGGUGGGAAUUGAGCGGCGAUGGGCGGUGAAGUAGAGCUUCGGGGACAAGGUCUUUGGCUAUUGGGCACUAGAGACAAGGCCGGUGCAGGCACGGUUUUGCCGGGAUUAAGAGUUGGUGAAGACGAGCAGGGUCUGGUCGCGUCAAGCAGCGGAUUGUGGGUGGCGACUUGAUUGGCGUGUGAUAGGAAGGAAGGCACUACAAGCGAGGUCGCAGCAGGCGAGGUGACAGGGCGAGCGGCGGUGCGAGCGAGCACAAAACAGCGGCUUGCCGGGGCACAUCACUGGUGAGGCGGAAAAAGGAGCUGUCCCUGCCAAAGCCAUGGUUGGCGGGAGCGGUAUCGUCAUGGCGCGUGCUCGUGGGCGGCCUAACUGUGGAGAGGUGGAAAAGCCGAAAAGCAUUGGGGCGCGCGGCCAGGGAUCCGGGCGAGGUGAUGGGUGCGGGAUGCGAGGCGGUCUGGCACGGCAGCGGCAAAACUUCUGCCACGGCGGUGACAGGGCGCCUUAGCGCGGCCGGCGAGGGUGCAAGCGAGAUGAGGCGAGGCAGAAAGGGCUUCAGGGGCUUCCGCUGCGAUUGGGAGGAAGGUGCGCUGAUCUAUCUUGUCGCGGUCGGCGACUAGGCGAGGCGGCGCGCGUCGGAGAGAUCAAGCCACGCGGCGGGGAAGCUCUGAAACGGGGUGCACACUGGCUCUGGCGCGUUUGACUCAAGAAAAUCGAGGAUCUGGUUGUGGGUCCACCACUCAGUCUCUGGUUCUCCCACAGCUCUAAGAUUUUGGAGGAGCACUGCCUCGGGACUUAGAGAAGAGUUGCCGUUUGCCGGUUGGUGCGGUUUUAGGGGUCAGACCGGUGGAACUGCAUAUUGGGAUUAGCCUUGAGAUUAACUUGGCUGGUUAACCAGGGUCGUUACAGCUAUGUUGCUGAGGUUGGUUGACAACAUCAUUGUCGUUUCAUGGGGCAUUGUUGUUGUCUGCAGCUCCCCUGCUGCCUUCUUGGUGAGCUGUGAUGCGAGGAACGGACGGAAUUGGUGAUUCUUUGUCAAGUAAAUUGUAGGCUUGCUCCACGAGUUGUGCGAUCAGUCUAUUGCCGCCUGCUGCAUGAGUUGAGCUGUGGCUUCGUUAUCCCUGUCUUGAGGCAUCAACGUUGUUAGAAGAUUGAUUGAAGCGAUUGCCGCAAGUGGAGUAUUGUGCUCCUGAGCCUGAACUGCAUCGAAAGCCCUUUCAAGGUUUGUGAUGGGAAUAUUUGUGGCCAUAGAUUGUCGUCGUUCGGCUCGAGCGGCGUUGCGCAUCCUUCUUUGGUUUCUUUGCUCGGAGGUUUCAUUGUGAGGAGCAUCAGAUGUAGACUCAUCUUCAGAGAUGUUGUUGAGUUGUGCUAAUCGCCUAGGGGUUCUGUUCUGGCUAGUACCCGGGUUGUUAUUUUGAGUAAUAAUAAGGACUUCUCUGUCCAGGUAGUAGCUUCCGGAGCUUGAUGUUGCAAUCUUUGUGGAGCUUUCCUCGCGGUUGGAAGUGAGUGGAACGCUCUCUUGAUAUGGGAGGUUGUCUAUAUGAGCGACAAGGCGCGAGUCAUAGUCACGGGCGAGAAGAAAUGGUCGUAAUCCUGGCCAAUGUAUGAAUCUGCCUUGUGAUGUUGAAGAUAUGACCAGUCCUUGGGCUAAAUCGGAUAACGGUAUCUCUGAUGGAUAAACCGAGUCAGACUCGACAUCUUCAGCGUGCCCGAGUUCUAGUUGAAUCCGAGUAAGAAAACCUUGGUGAACUUCGGCUGCGUUGCGGAGUCCGUGCGGGAACCUCUUUGAAGUCGAAACCAACUUGGGAAUUGACGGGGACCGACUAGUCCGAAGCGAAGUCGAGUCCGACGCGUAGUUGAACUCAAAAUUUUCAAUUUUGAAAUCUUGGUUUUUUCUGGCCCGAUCUUCUGCUUUCUUCUCCUGAGUGUUGAUGAUCUGGCGCCGGAAUGAACCCGAGCCAUCGGCAAUGCAAAGCCAGGAUCCGAAAACGAAGGUGGCGCCCACUUCGAUGAAGAAGAGGGGCUUGAUGAUGACCGUUGCCAUUGAGUUCGCGCUGAGAAACUUGACGAGUUCCCCUACCUGGCGCGCCAGCUGUCGGUGUUUUAAACCGGCAACCCGCCUAGGGGGUACCCUAGGUGGUCUUUUAUGCAGUAAGGAUCGUCGAGAAUCAAGGAAUCAAUGGUGACGCAAGGAACACUAUUUAGAUAGGUUCAGGCCGCUAGAUCGCAUAAUACCCUACGUCCUGUGUGUUGGUUUGUAUUGAUCUUGGAUGAACUGGAGUUGUUCGUGUUUGAGGGGGGCCCCUGCCCGCCCUUAUAUACACGGGAGGGCAGGGUUACAAGUCCGAGUCCUAGUCGAGUACUAUUACAGAGUUCUACUCGGUAAGGCCUGAGUAGUUUUUCAUAUACAUACUUGACUAGUCUGAGUGGGAUAAGCCUAUCCCUUGUCCUGAUCAUAUCCGAGUACGCCCCUUAGUGGGCCGUCCAAGGUCUACUCGUGGGCCUGGGGUGCAUGCCCGACAGUGGGGAGAGAGAGGCCGGUGGGAAAGGAUAAGUUAAGGCUGAUGGAGAGAGAGAGAGAGAGUAGAUCGGGAGGAAUAAAAAAAGAGUGGAUAUAGUCCCGGUUGUUGGUUUCAACCGGGAGUAAAGAUCAUCCUUUAGUCCCGGUUGGUGGGAAUAAAAAAAGAGUGAAUAUAGUCCCGGUUGUUGGUUUCAACAAAGAGUAAAGAUCAUCCUUUAGUCCCGGUUGGAAACACCAACCGGGACAAAAUGAGUGGCUUUUAGUCCCGGUUGGUGUUAUCAACUGGGAUUAAAUGCCCCACCAGUUUCCUUCGUUGUUCCUAACCAUUACUAUCGGGACUAAAGGUGGCUCUGUAGUCCCAGUUGAUAUUACUGACCGGGACUAAAGAGCCCCCUUCAGAGCUGGUUUUUGGACCCGGGACUAAAGGAAGUCCCAGAUCCAAAAAAGACCGAGACUAAAAACGUUGGAUGGAAGUUCUAUUCUCUACUAGUGGCAAUCCGACGACAAGGACAUCAUCUGUGCCUCAGAGUCACUAUUUUAUUUGCCUUUGCACAUAUCCACCAUUCUAUAUCUUCUCAUGCUUGAAAAUCUUACAUUAUGUGGAUAUUCUUAUGAUCAUUGGCUCGGAAGGUAGGCGACCGUUAGAGAGUUUUCUUAAUUCAAUAAUAUAAGUGUUGAUUCCUGCUAGCUUUGUCCAAACUCCACAAUAUAAUUGCGUGACCUUUGAGAGAUGAGAGCUUGCAGAUAAAUAGGAUAGCCACCUUUUUAAUUGAGCGACAUGUAAGCACCUGGAAAAGAAUUCUUGUUUCAACUUUUGUUGCAGGGAGAAUGUUUUAUGAUGAAAGGAAAACCCUCCAAAGAAAACCAAAAAGUAAUUGUGGUUGAUUCUUAAAGUUACUUGGCUCUAAUAAAAGCUAUGGGGUAAGUCUUGCUCGGAUUAUUCUUUGAAGACCCAUACUUUGAUUAUCUUUGCUGCUCCUCUAAUCUUUUGUUUAAAGGACUAGGUACUUAACUCGCUUGCUCAGGUUUGGUUCAAGAUCUUUGUUCAACUCUUUGGAGAAGUUUAUAGUCGCCUGACUUGCUCAAGGACGAGCAAGAGCUAAGCAUGGGGGGAUUGUCGACGCUCGUUAUUGACACACUUGUAGUGCUAUUUUAACUAGUGUUUUCAUGCAUAUUCUUAUAGUAACCCGCCACUUGGCACCUGAAAUAACCCCAUUUUGCAUAUGUGUUAUAUUUUAGAGCAUAUUGUGUUUUGACAGAAAAUACGACAUAAUCAGGGGGAUUUUCAUAAAGAGCGAAAUGGAUAUUUGGACAUGUGUCGUUGAGGGAAGCCUGCACGAGGAAGGAGAGGACCAGAAGGGAUAGAAAGGGCCCAGGCUGAUCUGCUUGGGACCCUAUAGGCCAAUCGGCCCAGCCCAUUCCAGGGCUCGGUCGAGCUCCCGUUUCUUCAACAUCAAGUCCAUGACAUAUCUAGGGCUUUCCCACUGACCAUCGACCCAGAGCCACCGCCUAUGAAGGACUAUAAAUAUCCCCUCAUGGAUUACAAGGAAGGGAGAGUUGGAGAAAAGAGGAAACACCACGCAAACACUAUCCACUGCCACCACAAGGUUGGGAAACGGAGAGAACAUUGGAUCUAUAGGAGGCCACGCGAAGCGGAACACUAGAGGAGGCAGAAACCUCCCAAGAUGAUCGGCUUGGAGGUGCCCAGGCUGAUCGGCUUGGGGCUUUCUCGCCCCCGUUCGUCACAUCUUCGGUCCAGCUAAUCUACAGGGCAUCCUUUACCCCCUUUUGCAUCAACAUGUAUAAGAUCAUGGGGUAAAGUCUCUGUUUGUCCCCAGGGUUGUAUGGAGAUCUUUAUUUGUAAUCAUUGAACCUCUUGUUUAAUAUCUAUUUGUUAUCAAUCAUAUUUUGAUGAUGCUCUUUCAUAUAAUGGCUGGCCAGCGCUACUUUGGGUUGCUUUAUUGCUUACCUAGAAUGAGCAUCAUGUCAUGUUCUUAUUGUCCGACAGUUGAGUACCCUUGUGUAGUGACGGUAUGCGAGAAGUAAAGUGUUGGACAUGGUGCACAUUCACUCACGAUAACACUUAGAUCUAGUUCUUUCAUUCAUGGCGAUUGCAAGUGAUCCUAGAUCCCUAGGACAAGUGUUCCACUUAUCUUGUUCACAUCCUUUGCUCUCUAUCUGCUUUGAUCUAGACUGCUUAUUUCUUUUGCUAGUAUAAUUUUAUCCAAUACAAAGAGCUUUCGGUUACAUAGAUUAGUGCUUAGUUAAGUGUGCAAAUCCCUUAUUCUGUGGAUUGAUAAACCUUGGGGAAAUCUCUAAGGGAAAAGCUACAACUAAUCCGUGUGCUUAUAGUUCACAACUUGACGUGCUAAUUGCCAUCGACAAAAGGCUACAUACAUAACCUACCUCUUGUGAAUAGGUCAACUCUACUUCCCUUACCCCCAAAGACAAUAUCUAAGGCCUUCCCUCGUACCAAGAAGUGGUGGUCCUCCUGUGACCCAAGAUGGCAAAUUAACUGCUUUCAUACUUGUGCGGCUAGUGCUAAAUUGACACAGAGGAUUCGUGUGGCCAUAACAAACAGUGAAGAUCCACCUCCCCAAAGAGUUCAAAAGUACGUACUUGACAAAUGCAGAAAAUGGAAUUUGGUAUGGGUUGGUCUCAACAACUUGCUCCUCUAGCAUUUUUCUUUUUAUCGAACUAGUGAAUGAUACGAAGGUAGACUGGUGUAAUUUUCAUAUCACUCUAAUUAGGCUACUUUUAAUUGCAUGUAUAAAUAAAAAUCUCUCCAUUCUCCCUCAUUCAAAAAAUCUCAAUUUUCUCUAUCUCUAAAGUAUAAAAUAAAGCAUAAUAAUAAUGAAUGAAGGGAGGAUGAAGUAGCUAACUUUACAAUAUUUUGGAUGAGUGAAAUCCCCACGAAAUUGAGGAAAAAAAAUCGGGCAGCACCUCCCUAAGCUUCCUUGGUCUCCAUGGAGAAGGAGCCCAAGCUGUCGGUCAAUGAGUGGCUCGGGCUCGAGGAAGAAGAAACUGAUGUUUAUAGGGAGGACACCAACCGGGACUAAAGGCUACCAAUUAAUCCCAAUUGAGAGGCUCGGGCUCGAGGAAGAAGAAACUGAUGUUUAUAUGGAGGAUAUUUAGUCCCGGUUGGUAACACCAACCGGGACUGUUACCAACCAGGACUAAAGGCUAUCAAUUAAUUCCAAUUGGAACCACCAACCGGGACUAAAUGCCCCACCAAAUUGCCACGUGGGCGAUGGCCAUUACAACCGGACUAAAGGGGGCUCUUUAGUCCCAGUUGUUGUGGCAGUUGGACCCAGGACUAAUGCUCCUUUAGUCUUGGGUCCAAAAUCGUUCGAGACUUAUAUCGCUGGAUGGAAAGUUGUUUCUCUACUAGUACUAGUGCACAUUGGCAAAAUAGAUCUAUGUGGCACAUGUGACCGUAUAUGCACGUAUUUGACAAGUUCUUGCAUCUGUUUGCACAUUUUGCUACUUAGACUAAAGUGAUACAAUCAUAUAAGUUGUGGUAUGGGGGUGUAAUUUACUCUUUUGUUUUUUAACAGAUAUUCACAUAGAUUACGAAACGCGUGGAUUUUUAUCUACUUCCUCGUUGCUCAUAUAUCUAUCUAUCUAUUUUUUAUACCUAUACAGACUCUAUAGAAUAUCCCACAUUAAUCGGAGGAAAGGAAAAAUCUCUAGCCAUUGAUGCACCGUAAGGUCCAAUUUUAACGGUUCAAAUUAAAGGAAGUGCAAUCCAUAUAGUUAUGUCAAAAUAUUUAAGGAAUAUGAGUCUUGGGGUUCUCCACUGCAGCUUCCUUUCACGAGCUACACGUGCAUCAGUUCGACACUUAGGCUAAAAAUAGAUCAAUCCCUCCCUAAAAUUCACGUGCAUUAGUUAGGUUCUGGAGAAAAAUUCCUAGCUCCCUCUUCCCAAAUGCUAGGGAAUCUGUAUCCCUUUUAAUAACAGCAAGAUUUGAUGGAAGCUGGCGUGCUAGGCUCUCUUCACUCAUGCUGCCCGUAUAUCUUCUACGGAGUCUUUACAGUUCUCUACCCUCCAGCGGUGAUCCAUGGACUAAUUUUUAAUUCAGGUCACAUCGGAUAUUUGAUACCAAUUAGAAGGACUAAACAUGAACUAAUUAUACAACUAAUUGCAUAAUCCAUAGCUAAUUCGCGAGACAAAUCUAUUAAACCUAAUUAAUCCAUAAUUAACGCAUAUUUACUGUAGCAUCACCUGAUCAAAUCAUGGACUAAUUAGGAUUAAUAGAUUAGUCUCGCGAAUUAGUCUUCAUUUAUACAAUUAAUUUGUAAUUAAUAUAUAUUUAAUACUUCUAAUUAGUAUAUAAACAUUCAAUGUAAUAGGGACUUUAGUCCCUGAACCAAACAGGCACUUAUUGGCAAACAAGUUUUGUCACGAUUUAGAUGUAAAUUGUGAGGAGAAGUCAGCCAACUUGCUCCAACAGAUUCGAUAGCCUAGCAACACGUCAGAGAAAGCUGGAUGGUGACACAUGUGAGCAGUACUCACGGUAUCGAUGGAGGAUGCACACCAGUCAACGCUGGCAUAUCUAUACAUGAGCUAACCAUAGAGUUCAUAUGUUUUGAAGGAAACAUAAUGAAGGAAACAUAAUGAUAAAAAUAGAGGGGAAAACAUGUUACAUGAAUAGAAACCAUUCAUAUAUAUCAACUUAGAAAUAUACAUUAUGCAAAUCGAAUUCAAUAACAUUAUGUGAACUAGCCCGUGCAUUCGCACUGGUUUACGGCUAGUGGAUUCUAACUUCUAAGACUUGCUAUAUACCACGUGAGUGUCACAUGAAUUUCACAAGUUCAUGCAAUUUUUCAGGAGGCUCGAGUUUUAAACUUCUGUAGGCAACGACGAGUAUUCCUUUGCUCCAAGAAAUUAGUUUCAUAUGUUUUGAAGGAAACUUAAUUAUAAAAGUAGAGGGAAAAACAUGUUAAAUGAAUAGAAACUAUUCAUACGUAUCAACUUAGAAAUAUACAUUAUACAAAUUGAAUUUAAUAACAUUAUGUGAACUAGCCCGUGCGAAUGCAGGUGUUUACGGCUAGUGGAUUCUAAUUUCUAAAACUUAUAUACCACGUGAGUGUCCCGUGAAUGAAUUUCACAAGUUCAUGCAAUUUUUCGGGAGGCUCAAGUUUUAAACUUCUGUAGGCAACACCGAGUAUUCCUUUGCUCCAAGAAAUUGGUUUCAUGGGAUCUGAUUCCUUCAAGCAAGAACCACAGUGAGUUUGAAGAACAUGACAGCACGACAAAGUGCAUAUAUAUAGUCGGUUGACCCUAGUCCCAAAUUCACCGAUGUCAGGAGCCCAUCGGCCUAUUCGCUUCAGCUUAUUCAGCCGACUUAUCAGCCACCAAACAGUGUUUUUCUCUCACAACAAAUCAGCCGUUUUAGCUUUUCAGCCGGCUUAUAAGCUGAAGCGAACAGGCCACAUGUCUCCUAGACUCCUACCCGUUCCGACACUCCCUGCCACAGCGGCUGAAGGACAUCCCCUAAAUCCCUAAUCGAUGGAUCUACCAUACAAUACAUAUGCAUUGUGAAGAGCAGACACUAAAGUGAAUUUGAUCACCAAGCGAAGCACUGGAGUCCGGAGAUAUACACUUUGACAGGUCACAGAACCUCUACAGCCACAAGACAGACAGGCCGAAUGGUGGAACGGCAACUGGUUUCCAGGUUAAUGAGUUCCAUGCAGCUGGAACCUUUGUCAUGGAAGGCUGAGAAAUUAUCAUGUUGACCCAACCAGCUUGAUCGCUUCAGCAUAUAUCUUCAAGGGGAAAAAACAUAUAAUCAGCAUAUAACAUGAAAUGCGUCGAGUAACAUUGGUAUGUUGCAGGAAUUUCAGGAUAUUCCAAUACGUUCGCAGUCCAUUUGAUGAGGACACCACGAGUACAUCUACACCAGCAGCACCUCAGGCGCCUCCAGUUGCUCCUCCACCUCAGGCGCCUACAGUUGCUCAUCCAGUUGGGCCAAUCCCUCGAGCCCGUGCGAGAGAAUUAAACUUCACCAUGCUGUUAAGGAACGAAGGCCCAUCGGAAUAAGAAGAUGGCCCAACAGGGCAACCCAGGUGGGGCGCCUAGGGUUGGGCACGCGUGACCCCUUCGGACUCCAGGGGCUGCGUCCCCUUUAUUUAGUCCGAGUCCUUUUUGUUUACGACUGGAGUUUUGUUUUACAUCUAGCUUUAGCUACUCUUGAACACGCGCAAAUACGCGCUGUCCUUGUGUGAUUCAGAACUCCACCUUCGAGUGAUAUUUAGAUUGCUCGCCUCUUUUUCUUGUUCGUUCUUCGAUUGCGGACAGGAAUUGAUCUUCGUGAUCAGGCUGAUCUCGCACUGGCGAGGUUGGUAACCAUCGGGAGUUGGUUCAGCGAUUGCAUUGGCGCUUCGGUUUCGCUCGUCGUAGUCGGAUCGUGAGGGUCUACUUCCACCAAGUCGAAUUUAUCUCCACUCACCGAAAGAUCGGGCACUCCGACUCUAUCAAGUGGUAUCAGCUUUCCAGGUUGAUCGGUGAGUUUUACCGAGUGUUUUUCCCUUCCUACAGUCCACAAAAACAAAAAGAAAUUUUUUUCAGAUUAGAUCCUUGUCCCAGCAACCAUUUAGCCUCGCACAUUCUUUCAAUAAGUGUCUUUGUUGAAUUUGUGUGCCUACUCGUUCAAUUGUUGAUGGUUACUUGUGUUUAAUCUCUUGUUUCUCGUUUUCCCUCUAACCCUAGUUUUCGCCGCCGCCGUCGUUCCACUGCUCGCCAACCCUACCACGCCGCGCCCACCGCCCCCCCCCUCGCGACAACCGCGCCGCACCAUCCCACCCCUCCGAUCGCCCCUCCCCUGCAAAAAAAGAAAAGGGUUGAAAGCAAUCAAAAAAAAAAGGAAAGAAGAAAAAAAAGGAAAGAAGAAAAAAAAACAGGGAGAAGGAAGGUGAUCCGGUUUACUCUAGAGAGAGAGUAUCUUUUUUUUACCGGAAUACCCCUGUACUUUCGGAAAAAGUGUGCCAUAAUUUGUUGUUUGAGAUCCUCUGUGUUCAUAUUAUCAGUUUUGGGGCACCCUCUGUGGAAAAAAAACAGAAAAAAAAAACAAAAGAGGUGCGCGCCCUCUCCACCUUUGCCUCUGUUCUUUCGAUUUCCCUUGUUACCAGCAACUCUUGUUACGUGUUUGGCACUAUCUUUCAACUUUGCAUUAUUGUUUGAUUGUGCUAAUCCUUCAUUUGAGUGCAGCCUUCCCAGAACUCCACAUAGUUCUACGACGAGCAUAUUUUGUUUCUCCAGGCAAUCGCUCCUCCAAUCUUUCGCGAGUUCCACCGGUUGGUUGCAGUUCGCCCCUGUGUGGGUGGUAAGAACGGAUAAGAAUUUGAUAACAGCACUAGUGUGAGCGCCUUGUGAGCCGUUACACCCCUGUUUUGUCGUCGCUUGUGUUCUUGUAUUUGCGCUAACCAUGGCAGAUGAUGUCGAUGCGGGGGCUAACCAGCUGCAGGGCAUACGGGCACAAGUUGAAGGGCUUGUCACCGACAUUCAGACGAUUCAUGAACGGCUGGACUCGACGAUCUCCUCGACGACCGAGCGGUGUGAUCAGCUCGACCUUGCACAGACGACCGCUAAGGCCACACUCGACUCAGUUGUGGCAAGACUCGAUGCAUUGCACACAACAGUCGCAGAGUUGCAGCAGAGUUAUGGUGGUGACUCAGACCAGGACGAUGGCGACCGCCGAGGCCGUGCCCGCCGCGUGCCACGCCGUCCCGGUGGUAAUGAUUCCUUUUCCAAGAUUAAAUUUAAAAUUCCACCUUUUAAUGGCAAAUAUGAUCCUGCUGCAUAUCUUGAUUGGGAAUUAGAAGUUGAACAGAAAUUUUCAUGCCAUGAUAUUCUUGCUAAUUCUCAAGUUAAAGCUGCUAUUAGUGAAUUUACUGAUUUUGCUUUAAUUUGGUGGCGUGAAUAUAAACACAAACAUCCCAAUACCAUUCCAACCACUUGGGAGCAAUUAAAAACUGCUAUGCGCCAUAGAUUUGUACCUUCUUAUUAUGCCCGAGAUUUGCUUAAUAAAAUGCAACGUUUUCAGCAAGGUUUCAAAUCUGUUGAGGAAUAUUUCCAGGAAUUACAAAUAGGCAUGAUUCGUUGUGGGUUAUUGGAGGAAAAUGACGCUGCUAUGGCACGUUUUCGUGGUGGUUUGAACCGCGAAAUUCAGGAUAUACUUGAUUAUAAGGACUACACAGAUAUGACAACAUUAUUUGAAUAUGCUUGCAAAGCUGAACGUGAAGUGCAGGGACGCCGCUCGAAGACAUAUUCUAACUCUUUUGCAGGAAGAAGCUCGACAUCCAACUCCGCACCCGCUCUCCCUGCACCACCCACGCCCACCACUACACCGCGCGAGCGAACGGCCAAACCUGCAAGCGCUGCCCCUUCCACAGGCGCCGCCCCUCCCACAGGCCGUACACGGGAUAUUCAGUGUCAUCGUUGCAAAGGAUUUGGCCACGUGAUUCGGGACUGUCCGAACAAGCGCACUUUGCUUCUUCGUGACGAUGGUGAGUAUUCUUCCGCUAGUGAUUCUGAAGAUACUCAACAUGCGAUGCUUGCCACUAACCAUGCAGCUAUGGAGGUACAUGUCAACCCGGGCGACGCCGUUAGGUAUGAAAGUCUUGUUGUGCAGCGUGUUCUUAGUACACAGGUCGCCCCGUCCGAGAAGAAUCAGCGACACACUCUUUUCCAUACCAAGGGUGUUGUGCAGGAGCGGUCGAUUCGCAUCAUCAUCGACAGCGGCAGCUGCAAUAUUUUGGCGAGUACCACGCUGGUUGAAAAGUUGUCUUUACCCACUCGUAAGCAUCCACAUCCAUAUCACAUUCAAUGGCUUAAUGAUGGUGGGAAAAUUAGAAUUACUCGAUCAGUCCGUGUUCCUUUCUCCAUGGGUGCUUAUUCUGAUUUUGUCGAUUGUGAUGUUAUUCCCAUGGAAGCAUGCUCUCUGUUACUUGGGCGACCUUGGCAAUAUGAUACUGAUAGCUUGCAUCAUGGUCGUUCAAAUCACUAUUCUUCAUGUUUAAGGGUCAGAAAAUAAUUAUACAUCCAAUGACACCUGAACAAAUUCUUAAAGAUGAUCUUGCUAGAGAUGCUAAAACUGCUAAACAACUUGAACCAUCGACAUCUAUUAAUUCUGAAAUCAAGUUGAAUGCUCCUGUUUUGCUUGCCACACGUGCUGAUUUUGAUGAGUUACGCGAUGCUCCUUUGCCAUGCUAUGCCCUUAUAUGCUCUAGUGUGCUCGUUUCACUUGAUGAUGCACCAUCUUUGGAUAUUCCCCCUGCGGUUGCUAACAUUUUGCAGGAGUACGCUGAUGUCUUUCCAAAAGAUUUGCCACCGGGGCUUCCACCACUUUGUAGCAUUGAGCACCAGAUCGACCUCAUUCCCGGCGCACAGCUUCCGAACCGCGCACCGUACCGUACAAAUCCGGAUGAGACGAAGGAAAUCCAGCGCCAGGUACAGGCGUUGCUUGACAAGGGUUAUAUUCGUGAGUCUCUUAGCCCUUGCUCCGUUCCCGUGUUACUUGUUCCAAAGAAAGAUGGCUCAUGGCGUAUGUGUGUAGACUGUCGUGCUAUUAAUAACAUUACCAUUCGCUACCGAUACCCUAUACCACGCCUUGAUGAUAUGCUAGAUGAGCUUAGUGGUGCCAUUAUUUUCACUAAGAUUGAUUUGCGUAGUGGCUACCAUUAGAUUCGCAUGAAAUUAGGUGAUGAAUGGAAAACGGCUUUUAAAAUAAAAUUUGGGUUAUAUGAAUGGUUGGUUAUACCGUUUGGUUUGACAAAUGCUCCCAGCACAUUUAUGCGUUUGAUGAAUGAAGUUCUGAGGCCUUCAUAGGAUUGUUUGUAGUUGUCUAUUUUGAUGAUAUCCUCAUUUACAGCAAGUCUAUGGAAGAGCAUUUAGAACAUUUGCGUGCUGUUUUUGAUGCGUUGCGUGCGGCCCAUUUAUUUGCUAACCUCGAAAAAUGCAUGUUUUGCACACAACGUGUCUCGUUUCUUAGCUAUGUUGUUACUCCACAGGGCAUUGAGGUGGAUAGCAGCAAGAUUGAUGCCAUUCGGGAUGGCCUACACCGACGACGGUCACACAAAUUCAAAGCUUUCUUGGCCUUGCAGGUUUCUACCGCCGGUUUGUUCGUGAUUUUAGCUCCAUUGCAGCGCCUCUACAUGAGCUUACAAAGAAGGAUGUUCCCUUUGCUUGGAGUGAUUCGCAAGAGGUUGCGUUCAACACCUUGAAAGAUAAGUUAACCAAUGCUCCUCUCUUGCAGUUGCCUGAUUUUACUAAAGUGUUUGAGCUUGAAUGCGAUGCUAGCGGUAUUGGGCUAGGUGCUGUUUUGUUACAAGAAGGAAAACCGGUUGCUUACUUUAGCGAGAAAUUAAGUGGUGCUAGCUUGAAUUAUUCUACUUAUGAUAAGGAGCUUUAUGCUUUAGUGCGCACUUUGUAUACUUGGCAGCACUACCUUUAGCAUCGCGAGUUUAUAAUUCAUUCUGAUCAUGAGGCUUUAAAAUAUAUUCGUACCCAAACAAACAUGAACCGUCAUCAUGCUAAAUGGGUAGAAUUCAUUGAGUCUUUCCCUUACAUUAUUAAACACAAGAGCGGGAAGGAAAAUGUCAUUGCUGAUGCUUUGUCUCGUCGCUAUACCAUGCUGUCACAGUUAGAUUUUAAAAUCUUUGGCUUGCAAACUGUGAAGGAUCAAUAUGUGCAUGAUGCUGAUUUUAAAGAUGCUUUCGCCCACUGUAUUCAUGGCAAACCAUGGGGCAAAUUUCACAUACAGGACGGGUUCCUGUUUCGCGCUAACAAGCUGUGUGUUCCAGCUAGCUCGGUUCGUCGUUUGUUGUUACACGAAGCGCAUGGAGGCGGUCUCAUGGGGCACUUUGACGUCUACAAGACGCAUGAAGUGCUGGCUGCCCACUUCUUUUGGCCUCGGAUGCGCGCUGAUGUUGAGCGCCUUGUUGCACGCUGCACUACUUGCCAGAAAGCUAAGUCACGAUUGAACAACCAUGGUUUGUACAUGCCUUUGCCUAUUCCUACUUCCCCUUGGCUUGAUCUUUCUAUGCACUUUAUUUUGGGAUUGCCUAGAACUAAGAAGGGGAGGGACAGUAUUUUUAUGGUUGUUGAUCGUUUCUCCAAAAUGGCUCAUUUUAUACCUUGUCAUAAGACUGAUGAUGCUAGCAAUGUUGCUGAAUUGUUCUUUCGCGAGAUUAUUCAUUUGCAUGGUAUUCCAAAUACAAUAGUCUCUGAUCGUGAUGCUAAGUUUCUCAGUCAUUUUUGGAGAUCACUGUGGAAUAAAAUGGGAACUAAAUUGCUGUUUAGCACCACUUGUCACCCUCAGACUGAUGGGCAAACUGAGGUGGUUAAUCGAACCUUGUCCACUAUGCUUAGGGCUGUUUUAGAUAAACACUUGAAACGUUGGGAAGAUUGCUUGCCUCAUGUUGAGUUUGCUUAUAAUCAUGCAACGCAUUCUUCUACAAAGAUGUGUCCUUUUCAAGUUGUUUAUGGUUAUAUUCCUCGGGCGCCUAUUGAUUUGUUUGCACUUGCUGCCGAGGACACCCCACACAUAGAUGCCGCUGCACAUGUUGAUCAAAUGAUUAGCUUGCAUGAGCAAACUAAACAAAACAUUGCUGCUGCUAAUGCUAAAUAUCAGGUUGCGGGUAGUAAAGGGAGAAAACAUGUUACUUUUGCACCGAGUGAUCUGGUUUGGUUGCAUUUGAGGAAGGAUCGUUUUCCUACCUUACGUCGUUCUAAAUUGAUGCCACGUGCUGCUGGUCCUUUUAAAGUGCUAACCAAGAUUAAUGAUAAUGCUUAUAUCCUUGACCUGCCUGCGGAGUUUGGUGUUUCCACGAGUUUUAAUGUUGCAGAUUUGAAACCGUAUGUGGGCGAAGAUGAGGAGUUGCCGUCGAGGACGACUUCAGUUCAAGAAGGGGAGGAUGAUGAGGACACCACGAGUACAUCUACACCAGCAGCACCUCAGGCGCCUCCAGUUGCUCCUCCACCUCAGGCGCCUACAGUUGCUCAUCCAGUUGGGCCAAUCACUCGAGCCCGUGCGAGAGAAUUAAACUUCAUCAUGCUGUUAAGGAACGAAGGCCCAUCGGAAUAAGAAGAUGGCCCAACAGGGCAGCCCAGGUGGGGCACCUAGGGUUGGGCACGCGUGACCCCUUCGGACUCCAGGGGCUGCGUCCCCUUUAUUUAGUCCGAGUCCUUUUUGUUUACGACUGGAGUUUGUUUUACAUCUAGCUUUAGCUACUCUUGAACACGCGCAAAUACGCGCUGUCCUUGUGUGAUUCAGAACUCCACCUUCGAGUGAUAUUUAGAUUGCUCGCCUCUUUUUCUUGUUCGUUCUUCGAUUGCGGACAGGAAUUGAUCUUCGUGAUCAGGCUGAUCUCGCACCGGCGAGGUUGGUAACCAUCGGGAGUUGGUUCAGCGAUUGCAUUGGCGCUUCGGGUUCGCUCGUCGUAGUCGGAUCGUGAGGGUCUACUUCCACCAAGUCGAAUUUAUCUCCACUCACCGAAAGAUCGGGCACUCCGACUCUAUCACCAUUAGUAGUCAAACUUCUUUUGUCAGUCAACUUAUUAGUCAACUUAUUACCAGAUUAAAAUAUUUCCUUGUCUCUAAUGUGCAAAAUCAGGCGCAUUGUCCUCAUAGAAAUUAAAACUAAAUUCAGAACAAAGUGUUUUAGAUGCAUAUGAAGAAAAUGGCAAGCUUAUUUCAAAGGUAUGGGCCAAAAACCUUCAUAACAAUCCAUGCUUGCCUUCUCACAAGGACCAAAGGGUGGAUUCGCAUUUGCCUAGAAUCUAUUUGGUGAACAGUUAGACAUAGUUCUAGCUCUAAGACAAUACAUGUCAUCUAAGAUAUACCAUUAAAGCUAAUUUCUCCAAUGGACUGUCUCCAACAUUGUCUCCUUUUGCUUUUAAUUAAUGACUGCAUGUGUAUACAAGAUGGAGCAUGUGUAUAGAAGAUAGUGAAGAGUCGGAAAAGAGUUAGUAGCAGAUGAUUAAGUUGACUCUUGUGCCCUCGUUUUCUGAGCGAGACUAGCAGGGAAAUAACAGAUAGCUUGGAUGUUUCCCCCCUUUCUCUUUCCUCCACAUACACACAAUGUCAUGUACAUGCUAAUAGACAGCUGAGUUGGCAUUGUUGGAGGCCUAAUUCUACAUGGGAAACCAGAACACAGAAUGUACCAAAACUACACUACGGUUUUGGCCAUAUAUUGAGUACAAGAGAACAAUACAUUUUAGUAAAUAUGCAAUAGAAUUGCCAAUCAAAAGCAAAAUUACCUUUACCUAGUAUAUACUGUUUACAAACCUCAGGUCGUGCAUAAUCUCAAUAUUUUCCCAGUACUAGAAAAAAAUUGACCACCUCAUAGCUUAGGUUUAGACAGGCAAUUAUGAAAGUUAAAUUAGAAUUGCCAAGUAUUCGUAGUUUAUAAUUUUAGAUUUUCCUAAGGUUAUAGUCCACUUUACUCCCUUGUAGUAUUCCAGAGUCCAAUUAACCACCUAAAGUUUGAUUUGGUUGAAUAACUCCCCACGUUCCUUAAAACAGAUUAUUUUUCACCUUUUGUUGCCCAUAAUUCCUGGUUAUGCCUACAUGGGAAAAAAAAAGCUAAAAACCAGUUUUGCUGUUUGGGAUGGCCACAUGGACUCACCAUGUGGACACACGAACUUUGAAUUGCGCGUGGCGGCAUAUGAUGCCCACAAGAAUCCCUUUUGGAAGUAGCUAAGGAAACCAACACUCCCGUGCAGAGGAAACUAAGCAAUCCAGUGUGUCCUCAUGCUGAGCAGCAAUGACAGCACCUGGACAGCAACGAUGGAUGCACAGGCUAAACCACAUUAUCAAUUCAGGGUAUUGGCAACAAAAUGCAACUAAACUAAACUCAAUUUGGUUCAGCUAGUUUAUUUCACUUCCAUAUUUUCAAAAAAGUUGAAACAGUGUUCUACACCAACAAAGUAAAGCACACAUAAACAAAAAGCUCAUUUGGUAAUAUACUUGAAUGUGAAAUUCAAUGUAGCACCAUUCAAUGGCUCAUCUUGAGUCUUGAGUACGCACACAACUUGUGUAUGAAAUAAAGUUUUUCACUCAACUAAUCCAAAGCCAAUUCAGUAUGCACCUGAGGGCUAACUAUGAAACUCCCUACUGCCUUUAUCUUUUUUUGUCUCAGAUAAAACACUAUGACAAAUUUAGCUAUGGGAAAUCACGAACGCAUCUCAUUUAAAGAAAAUGUGCUUCUAAUUUAGUUCUCAGCAUUUUUCUAAUCAACUGCAAUGCACCCCCACCUUCUUCCAAAAACAUGACCAGAAGUUAGCAUUCAGUAAAGGAUAAGAGCACCCUAGGCGGUCCUAGACUCAAAACCCACCCGGGUUAGUACUUGGGAGGUUGAAUAGCCUCUCUGUCAGCACCAGGGCAGUGCCCUGUUCCCAACAUACUAAAAACUUAACCAACUGAAAAUUUAAAGGCACAAGAACCAUGCAAUUUUUAUUGUGUUAAAAUGGGAGGUUUAUCCAAUCUCUUCAUUUCACACUUCGAAAUAGAGUAUAAUGCCAAUAGAUAAGCAUGAAUUAUCAUCUACUUCCAAAACAUCACAAAAAGAACAGGAGUGCCUCACUGACCUGACCACACAGGUUUUAAAAUUUAAGUGUAGAAGAGUAUGGUUCUAUCCCACAGAUUGUCAACUAGAAAUCAUUUUAAGCAUUGAUCCCAUUUUAUUUAUUAAAGUUGGUCUACUCAAAAACCCAACAAAAAAGCCCAAAAUAAGAAAUUCCAGCCCUUUUCAGCAUUGAUCCCAUUUGAUUUAUUGAAGUUGGCCUACUUAGAAACCCAACAAAAAAGGCCAAAGUAAGAAAUUCCAGCCCAUAUUUCUCACGCUCUCCUAAAGAUAACUGGUUACUUAAAGCAAUGACUACCGCAGAUUAACAAACCAGUAAUGAAUUCGACCAGUGUAAGCCCAGAUUUGUCCCCUCAACUUUGCCCCUCGAGUGCUUCGUUCUCAGUCAUAAAGGUCUGUGUAUCACAUCUGGACCCAAGGGGCAAAGCAUUACAUCUUGAGAGUAGCUCUUAACCAAUGACAAGAUUUUAGCUUAUUGCCACCCCUGCAUCUGUGAAAGCACAAUCAGGCCAGCCCCCUCUAAUAAUUGGCCCAAGCUCCGCCACUGUCUCGACCUAAACCAUAAUUGCCUAGUUCCGAAUAUUGUCUAGCGGGCUUGAUAUUUUUAUCGUCAUUGAGCAUGGAAAAAAUAACAUUUUGGUUCUUCCUGAACAAGAUGACGUUAUAUUCAAUGAAAAUCUCACUAAAUCAUGAAGAUUAUAUAUUUAUUAAUCUAAAUAACAAAGCAUGAAUGAUAGUUGGAGUAAUUGUUUACUCUAUAGGUCACGACAUCAAAGAGCCUUUUUUCUGUGAUCAAGUACAUCCAAUUUGCACAACAGGUCAUGGGCUAAAUUCUUGCAUAAUUAUAUGAUCACCUUUGUUAAAAAGUGGUCGACUUGACACAUUUCACAAUGAUGCAGCUAUGCAUUUAUCUCAAACGCAUAUUGUGCAACAGUACUAUGAUAUAAUGUAUGUAGCUAUCCUUCUGUCAAUCAAAUCUACACAUCUAAACAAAGUGACUGAGAUUCAAAGCUCACUAGUGAGCAAAGCCAAAAUCAAAACUCAAAACUACAAGUUACUGUGACAGGCCAAUUAGGCCCACCCAAUUAUCACCAGGGGAGGGGUGUGAAGGCAGCAUGCCACCUAAUCACACCACCAGCUCCCCAAUCACCUUGCCACCCAAGUCAGAUCAUCAUCAAUUAGGAAGUUCAUCCCAUGCAAGUUAGGAAAGAUCGGAUCAUUCCUAUAAGAAUUCAUCUAUCAUUUACUAAGGGUCAAGUCACCUUCCUCUAUAUAAAGACUGGGGAUCUAUCUUGGUUGAUUAAGCAGAAGUUAGGUCUAAACCAGUUCUGUUUUCUAGCUUUCAGCCUCCUCCCUCCUUAGUCCCCAGCGUAGCUGCAGUGCCCACCUCCACGGGCACUGCCCACCUCCUCCCUCCCCAACAAAUCACGCCCAUAAUAGUAUCAAAAUGGUCAAUGGCAAUUAUGUGUAAGACACAAACUGGGCAAAAGGAGAAGAUAGACAUGCCACCACAAAGCAGGUAAAUUAAUUGGAACCCAGUUGGUUAACUGGUAUAGCAAUGAAAUUACCUGAUGCUUCUUUGUUAAGAACAUGUCAGUGUAGAACAGUAUGCUUUGCAGGGAAAGGGUGUAUGUGGCAUAAAAAAUGGUGAUUCGUUUUGUCCUUUUGGGUUAAAGCCGCUCAUUAGUUCUUCCGUUUCCAACAGCUUUAAAAAAGUUCUGGUCUGCAAUAAUCCAGAAGAUAAAGGAUACAGUGCAUUGGGGCUGUAGGACAAAUUAUCCAGAAGAUCAGUCUUUUACAUUACCAGAAUACCAGUUUCUCUACAAUUUCUAUGGAAAGGGUAGCCCAUUCCCAAAAAAAUUACAAGCAGUAUUGCAAAAUUUUCAUUCUGAAUAGUUAAAUCUUUUGUCGGGACAUUUUGUCUUUGAUUAAAAUAUGCUUCACAGUGCAAAAUAAUGCGUUGCAAUUUAAAAAAUCAAAACACUAUUCACAUGGUAACAAAAGGUUAGCAGCAUACUUUCAUUUCAACUGAGUCUUUAAGAGUCAGGACCAAAUGCUAUUUGAUUCAAAUAUUUCCAACUUAAGGAAGCAAGACGUACCACAAUCAAUUGCCAAAGAGUAAGUUCAUGACGCCCCUGAACAAAUGCCCGCGCUUUACUGUGCCACUGCGCACCGCCUCCUCGUCUGCCACGAAGCCCUUUCCCUUCAUCGUCUCCAGCAGCACUUUCCCCUCCUCCACCUUCUCCGCCCUCACGUACGCCUCGAACGCGGCGAUAUACGUCGCCACAUUCGGCCGCAUCCCUCGGUCCAGCAUCUCCACCAGGUACCUCCCGGCCUCUGAGCACCGGUCGCUGGCCGAGAGCCCCCUGACGAGCACGGCCAGCGUGUAUGCGUUGGGCUUGACGCCCGACGCGAGCAUGCGGUCGUAGGUGCGCACGGCGUCGCGCCAGUGCGCGGGGCCGGCGUUGACGUAGGCCUCGAGAACGGCGGUAUGGGCGACGACGUCGGGCAUGGCGCCCUUGUCCUUGAUGACAGCGAAGAGCGCGAGAGCCUCGUGGGUGAGCCCGUCCUUGGACAAUCCGUCGAACAUCUUGAUGGCGUAGUCGGUGAGGCCCUCGGUGCGCAUCCGGUGGAAGAUCUCCUGUAGGUUGGUGGGGUCCGACGGAUCGGCGAGGGUGGGCUUCUUGCUAAAGGGGUCGUAGGGGGGAGGCAGCUCGGAGAUCUUUGCCGUGGACGGCGGUAGAGGUGUCGUGUGGUUGUCGGCAUCGUCGUCGGACCAGUCGAAGGCGACGGGUGAAUUAGUAUUGGGGCUGCGGUGAGGUGAUGGGGAAGCGGUGGAGGAGAGGAGCCGGCUGGUAUUUGAUACGGAGGAGGGGAAGGACGGACGGAAUAGGCGGCGAGCGGCCGCGGCGGCGGUGGCCAUCGGGAGGGUGGAGGAGAGAGGGCCUAGAAGCAGUAUUGUGCUGUAGUGCUCUACCUUGUUUGUUCAAAGCAAGCCUUCUACUCACGGGUAGGAGGUAAUUGGUGAGUGCGAAAAAAUAUUGGAUGAAAGAGGUUUUUUAAAAGGCUUUUCUUGGUGCGUUCACUACUCGAAACGGGUCCUUCCUCUGGAGGACCGAAGAACCAAAAGAGAUGCCCCUUUCGGGGCGCAUUCCGAUUUCGCAAAAUUACAUUAUUUGUUUAGUGGGAAUGGGAGUUUUAGUAGGAUCAGGAAUGUAAGUUUAAAAGGCAACUUGUACCAAUAACUUUUUGAGGGAGGGGUGGGAAUUUAUUUUAAGGGCUUGUUUGGUUGGAGGUAAUUGAUGGGAGGGAAUAGGAGUUUAGAUGGAAGAUAUUAAAAUUCAAUUGUUUGUUCGGUGAGCACGGGAGAAUGGGAUAAAAAAUGGAAGUUCAGAGGGGCAACUCUCACUGAUCACUUCCUAGAGGGAGGGGUGGAAUUUGUUUUAAGUGGAAGAUAAAUGUAUCUGCACCGUUUAUCAUGAUUUAAGCUAUAAUUUCCCACCUCUAAACCCUCGUACCAGUCACUUAAAAAAAUAAAUAAGGUAAUGAUACUAAAAACUAUUUUUCCAAGUAAACUAAUUCUCAUUCCUCUUUCUGUACGCCUCUUUCUGUUAGUUAUCAUUGGUAGUUUAAAUCUGAUUUAUUAAUUGGUAGUUUAAAUCUGAUUUAUUAAUUGGUAGUUUAAAUCUGAUUUAUUAAUUGGUUGUUUAAAGGCCGUUUAAAGGUGUGUGGCGAUGCUGCUGAGGCGCUUGCCACAUGGAGGAGGCUCUUGCCGUUUAAACAAAGGAGACGCAUGAUUUGGUGGCCGGGGUCUGGGGUGCCGAUGUUCCGCUGGAACGAGUGGCGGUGGUGUAGUGUUGGAAAAAUGGCCGUAACAGUGCAUUGCAUUCAAUAGUCUGGUACUGCUAGUUUGAAUUGGUGCAAGCCAACUUAAAUAGGAAAGCACUCCCACUUCUUUGAAUACGUAACUGAAGGAGAGAAUAUGACUUGGGUUACACAACGUGCACGUAUUCACGCUCUCUUCACAUAACCAACCACGUGACUUGUAAAUUGUGACUUGUGACGCAGCGUGCAACUAAAGGGCCGGAAAGGCGAUCAGAGGGGGGUGAAUGGGAGCCGAUUCAAAUUUUCUCCAAGAACUUCAGCUAAAAACCCACAAACCUCUCUUCUAGCAUAAUCAAGUCCACUUAGCUAUGCACAAGCUAAUGGACCUAGGAAUGAUGCUAGGAACCCAAUUUGAGAAUAGCGGAAGCAAGAAAGACUUCAAACAAGCUCCGAAAGACAAACUUUGAAAACCAACACCUCUGUGCGGAAAAUUCCGGAAGAACCUUCGGAAAAUUCCGGACGUGCGGAAAUUUCUGGAGAAACCUUCGGAAAUUUUCGGAGGUCCAGAGAUUUCCGGAAUUAUGUCCGGAGAUUUUCGGAAUUCCAAAACAGCCUGCGUGAAGGUGGAAGAAAAAAUCCGAAACUCAAUCAAACGACCUCCAAAUAUCACGAAAUUUUAACCAUAGCUUUCCAAAAACAUAACAAACAUAUUUCCAAAAGAUCUCCUCAAAAAGAUUAGUCAAACAAAGGUAAUAAAAUAUUUUGUUAAGAACGGCAGUUUUUCAACCUUAGAACUUUAAUCGCCCCGAUCUAUGAACUCGUGAGGAAUUAGAUGAAUUUCUUUAGUGGAAAGCCUUCACUCACGUCCUAGUUCAUAUCCAAAUAACCGGUUUGAUCCAAGACUCCCCAGAAAUCACGAAUCAAACAAAAACGUGAGAAGGGAAAAACGGGAGAAAUGAGAAUGCGAAGAACACGAUUGAGAUUUCCACAAAUUGUCAUCCCCCAACACGUGGACACGAGGAGGUUAAGGCCUCCAUUCCCACAAGAAAAUCUUCGGUUCAAUACACGGAUACAAGUUCAAAUCAUCCGCGGACCUCUAGAGAUUGACUAGAGAGGGGGGGAAAACCAAAUGAAAACUAGAGAGAGAGGUGGAUGGAUGAGACGGGUGGAGAGGUGCUAAGAACUUCAGCCCCCAUCUCUAUCUAUAGGCACAGACAAAAGACUAAACUACCCCUAAUAGCUACUACUAAGAUAACUACCCACGCAGGGGUAUUUUUGUCCAAGUUUUUGUUCAUCCAUCGGACGGACACGCUGCCUUCACGACUUCGCUUCGCCUCGAUGCAAGCUUCGCGAUGACGCCACGUGCCCUCCUUCUCAAAGCUUCGGCCGCAUCGGGCUCGCCCCCGGUUUUGAGGCUCAAACUAGGAAACCUGCCAGCGUGGUGAUUUUGAGGCCCAAACCACCCAAACCGUCCAUCUUUGCUUGGCCGCCAUGCGACCUCCUCGAUGUCAACGCGUGUCCAGUCUUCGCCAAGCCUUUGACGCCUCCAAGUCGUUCGUUCCCGGCUCCCGGGCCGCCUAUUUGACUUGCCUCCGUCCCGCUUGACUCGACCGACGCCAUCUCCAUCACCGUCAUGUUGUCUUGCCGUUUCGUGCACCAUGUGGACCGCCCAUGACUCCGCCUGGACUCCUCAGGUCCAUCGGUCCAAGCCUAUUCGCGUUCAUCCUUUACCGCCCUUGGUCCAUUGGCAUGAACCUUUCGCUCAACCUUCACCGUAUGCCGUCGGCCAUCACAUCACAUCCUACACCUGCACAUCACAAGCCAAGAGCAACAUCAAUCCAACACAAUGUUGUCAAUCACUUAUCAUCCAAGGGUGACCACCAUUGGUCCUCAAUCUCCCCCUUGAUGAGUGCAUUGACAACACUCAACACAAAUUCAUAGCUUGAUAAAAAGAAAAAGAAAAGACAAACUCGAAAACAAAGAAAAAUCGCAGUCCCCUAAGAAAAGGGCAACGGCUCUACACGACUGAGACAAAAUCAUGUGAUCCCUCAAGAAGAGGCAAAAAACAGGCUCAACACCAAUCACAUGAAAGUCCAAAUCCAGCUCCUCAAGAAGAGGUAAAACAGCUCAACACGAUCGGAAAACGAGCAUAAGAGCAUAUAAAGCUUAUAAGAACUCGACUCAGGACUCCCCCUGAACAAAUGCAUGAGAAACAAAAUGCAUGAGAAACUUCCCCUUGUCAAAUCAAAACAUGCAGAAACUCUCCCCCUUGACAAAUGAAAGAGUUUGUGUGCAAUCACUCCCCCUUGUUGGCAAUGCAAGCAUCAAUACAAAGCAUGGCAGCCGAAAAGCAUGCCAUGAAAAUGCAGAAACUAUCAAGCUUCUCAGAUAUACCAUGAAAUACUCUCAAAGGCUACAAAAGAGAUAAGCUUAGGGGAUUACAAGAUGCAAUAGCAUCGCCAGCAAGAUGAAUUCAUGUUACAGAAAGGAUGUGAAGUAGUUUUUUGCAAUUGUGAAAAAGAUCACCACAUGAGCAAACGCCUAGUUAAGAAUCACCCUAGCAAGAAUAACUAGGCCAUCAACAGCUCAUACAAGGAACAAACAUUCUUGACAAAAGAUCAGUGCAGACACCCACAACACAUCUCUUGUCAUGUGAAGCUCGUUGAAACCAAGUGCCUACUUUUUUUUGGUACACAUCUUGUAACAACUAAGCAAGCUAGAAUAUGAACAAUUUAGCAUAAAAACAUGAUGAAUGAUUUGAAUUUAUCUUUGCAGCAUGUUUCUUUUCAUCAUUCAAACAAGGCAAAGUACAUGAAGUGCCUUUGCGGCACAAAUAAGCCAUGCUUCCCCAAGGGGUGCAUCAUGGGCUAAACAUCUACAAUGAUAUCUAGAUUUUUGACCCGAUUGACAAGAACAUGCAUUCCAAACAUAAGCCAAAUAUGGAACUAGGAUUCAAACAAGGGCAAAGUAUAACUAAGCAUCAACUCAUGGUGAUAUAGCAUUAGAUUUCAGAAAAACAAUUAUGUCAACAUGUAAACAUGAUCAUCAAGAGCAUAACUGCACAUUGCAUCAAAGUAACCAACCAAAGUACUAUCUCACAAGUAGCAUAAGAUAGUACACAGGGCAUAUAAGAGAAGCUCAUCUAAUGCAAUAUGGUACAAAUGCAAUAUGAUAAAAAUGCAUUAUGAUACAAAUGCAAGCCAAGCUAGCAUACUACAAAGAUGCUAAACAAGCAAGAGGCUAUACAGAUAUAAUACAACAGAAGCACCAAAUCCAACUCAGAAAGGAAAGAAAAUACCCAACUCCCCCUGCAAACGAGCAAAAGUGGCUUGAUCCAGGGGUUUGGUGAAGAUAUCAGCGAGCUGGUUUUAGGUAGCAACAUAGCCAAGGUCAAUGUCUCCUUUCUCAACAUGAUCUCUCAGAAAGUGAUAUCUCACAUCAAUGUGUUUGGUUUUUGAGUGGAGAACAGGGUUCUUGGCUACACUAAUGGCACUCAUGCUGUCACAAAGAAGGGGUACACGAGUAAAAUCCAAACCAAAGUCUCUCAAAGUGGAAAUCAUCCAAAGCAGCUGAGAACAACAACUAGCAGCAGCAACAUACUCGGCUUCGGUGGUAGACUGAGCAACACUAGAUUGUUUGCGGGAAGACCAAGAGACCAAAGAUGAACCAAGAAACUGGCAAGUUCCAGAGGUGGACUUGCGAUCCAAAUGACACCCAGUAAUAUCCGCAUCGAAGUAUCCGCGGAGAGUGAGUGUCAAGGAGGCAGAAUACCACAAACCGAAUUCAGGGGUAAAGCGUAAAUACCUCAUGAUCCUCUUAACCGCUUGGCGGUGAGAGGUUCUCGAUGAAGCCUGAAAUCGGGCGCACAAACACACUGCAAAGUGAAUGUCUGGCCUUGUCGCCGUCAAAUAGAGGAGGGAGCCGAUCAUGCUCCGGUACUCCUUCUGGUCCACCAGUUCGCCGUCUGCAUCCGCAUCAAGUGCCGUUGUCGUUGCCAUGGGUGUGGAUAGUGGCUUAGCAUUAGCCAUGUCAAACUUCCUCAACACGUCCUUCGUGUACUUCCCUUGGUGCACGAAAGUCCCUUCCUUGCUUUGCUUGAUUUGUAGCCCGAGGAAAAAGGUUAGUUCACCCAUCAUUGACAUCUCGAACUCCCUGCUCAUGUCAUCUGCAAACUUGGCAACCAAAGCAUGAGAGGAACCACCAAAGAUAAUAUCAUCCACGUAAAUCUGAACAAUCAUUAGGUCUUUGCCUUGCCUGAGGAGAAAGAGAGUUUUAUCAACUGACCCCAUUUCAAACCCAUUCCCAAGCAAAAAGGAUUUUAACCUAGCAUACCACGCUCGGGGUGCUUGUUUUAGGCCAUAGAGAGCUUUCUGGAGUUUGAACACACGGUCAGGAUACUUAAGAAUCUCAAAACCAGGGGGUUGUCUCACAUACAUUUCAUCAUCUAUGAAACCAUUUAGGAAGAUACUUUUCACAUCCAUUUGGAAGAGCUUAAAACCUUUAGCCAUAGAAAAGGCUAGAAGGAUUCUAAUCACUUCCAAACAGGCAGCAGGGGCAAAGGUUUCCUCAUAGUCUAUACCCUCUUUUUGACUGAAACCUUGGGCAACCAACCUCACUUUGUUUCUCAUAACCAACCUAUUUUCACCCUGUUUGUUUUUGAAAACCCAUUUUGUUCUUAUAGGGUGGCAAUUUGGAGGUGGUUCAACUAAAACUCAAACCCUGUUUCUCUCAAAGUUUUCUAACUCCUCAUGCAUAGCAUUGACCGAGUUUGAAUCAGAUAAAGCAUGUCCAAUAUCUCGGAGUUCAAAAGAGGCAACAAAAGCAGAAUGUGCAAAGUGUGAAAUCUACCUAGUGGUGUGCUCAUGCAAGUUACCGAUCAUCUGUUGUGGAUGAUGGUUACGCUGAAUGUGUCGUGGAGCUCCUCGCUCUGAAGUAGCCUCCCCCUCAACAGUAGCUUGUUCACUCUGAUCUUCUUCUUCAUCAUCUUGUAGUGGUACUUGGUGAUGGCUUGAAGUAGUGGAAGUAGGGGGUAGGGCCAUCAACUCUAGUAGUCGAAGUAGAAGGUUUAGGAGCAGCAGCUGGAGCACGGUUCACUUCAUCAUCUUCUUCAUCACCACUAUCAACACGCUUGUUCUCUUCUUCAAAAAUGCUUUGUCCCAUUUCAUAUUCACCUACAGCUUCAAAGACAGAGUUGUGCAAGGCAUAGUUUCAUCGAAAGUAAUCUCACAAGUUUCCACAAUCCGGUUAGUUUCAAGAUUAAGUACAUGAUAAGCAUGACUAUGAGAUGCAUAACCAAGAAAAAUACCAUCAGUGGACCGAGACUCAAAUUUGUCCAAAUUGCCUUGCUUGAGAAUAAAGCACUUGCAUCCAAACACUCUCAGAUGACUUACCUUGGGGGAACAUCGAUGCAUCAACUCAUAAGAGGUUUUAUUCAUAAAAGCUCGCAAGAAGAUUCGAUUGGAAACAUAGUAAGCAGUGUUAACAGCUUCGACCCAAUAUUUCCUAGGAGUCCUAUGCUCAUCAAGCAUCGUCCUAGCCAUCUCACAAAGGGUCCGAUUCUUCUGUUCAACAACACCAUUCUGAGGAGGGACAUAAGGCGAUAGAAACUAGUGUUCAAGACCAAGAUCAUUGCAAAAGGCUUUAAAAUGAGCGUUCUUGAAUUCUGUGCCAUUGUCACUGCGGAUAGCUCUCAUAGCAUCUUUAGGUCACUCCUUUUUCAACCUCAAGAUCAAAUCUCGGACAAAAGGAAAUGCCUCCUCCUUAGACUCCAUGAAGAAAACCCAUGAAUACCUGGAGAAAUCAUCAACGACCACAAGCACAUACCACUUCCCACCAACUGAGCAAACACGAGUUAGACCAACAGUGUCCAUAUGUAAUAGCUCACACGGAUGCUCAGUCAUCACCUGAUUCACAGGUGGAUGGGAAGCAGCAACCAUUUUCCCAUGUCGAUAGGGAGCGCAAACAAGAUCCUUCUCAAAUUUCAACUUGGGCAAACCAUGAAUAAGAUCUAAAGCACUCAACCUGGAAAUCAAGUCAAAGCUCAAAUGGCCCAAUCUUCUAUGCCAUUUACAAAGUUCAGAAGAUGAACCAGCAACAAGACAUCGAGAGAGGCCAAAUGAUUUGGAAAAAUCAACUCGAAACACUUGACCCUUGGGAAUGAUCACACACACAAGAUCAACCUGAGAGUCCAAGAUCUUUAAAGACCCAUGCUUGAAACGAACCUCAAAGCCAUCGUCAAGGAGCUGAGAAACCGAAAGCAAGUUGAAGCCAAGAGAAUCCACAAGGGCAACUCGCUUAAGCAUGAAGUUCUCACUCACCUUGAUGGCAACUUCAGACAUUACCUUCCUUUGCUAUUAUCCCCGAAAGUGAUGUACUCCCUGGUCAUCACCGGGGUGAGACUAGAGAACCAUCUGUGAUCACUGGUCAUGUGUCGAGAGCAACCGGAAUCAAUGAGCCACAUGUUCUCCAGGCCUCCGACCUGCUCAAACAAAGAGAGACCAAGGCUGAGCAAAUGUUUCAACACUGGGGUUAGAAGGAAAACAAGUUGAAAACCAGUGUCGAACCAUUUGCUCAAGAGUGGGAUUAGCAAAAUCAACCAUCUUUCGUCUCACAGGAGGACUACGACCAACGCUAGGGGGAAAACGUGGUCCGUUGUAGCUCCGAGACUCAAAGCAAGGACUAUGCUGUCCUGGACCAUAUUGAUCAUGGCGAGGAGCAUGCCUGGCAAAACCACAAGAGAGAGGUGAACGCACACGAUCCAUACGACGAGGUGGAGGAGCUGCUCUAGGCGCAUGUACACCAUGAGAGGGGUGGUACAUGUCCUGGUUGCCCCACGCACGCUCAUGCCUCAAAGCUUUCUUCUUGUGAAAGCAAAACUCCUCAAGGUGACCUGAGUUCUUGCAAAACUCACAAUGAAAGCGAACUGGUUGUUUUGGCUGUGGAUUUGCAUUGGGCUGAGGGUUUGCUUUGGGUUGUAGUUUCGCUUUGGGUUUUGGAAGUGGACGCUUAGGAGCAAUUUCUGGAAGUGUGUCAAGUUUGCUCCUGAGAUGGUUUGGCUUUUCUACCCAAAUAGCUUUCUUGGGUACUUUAGGUGGUGUCUCAAUGAAAACUCCAUCUCUCACACACUCAGACAAGUUUUGCUCACAAACUGGAAUGGGUUGCUCUCUAUUUUUAGUAGGUGACUCUCGAGGGGUGUAGUCAGCUGGUGGCUCACACUGGUUAUAGCUUGGUUUCUUUCUCUCACCACUAUUUUGACCCACCAUUUCACACAACCCAUCAAAGAACUUGUGCCCAUUAAAAUGACAACCCUUCAUAAUGGACCCAAGCCCAAAACCAUCAACCCUUUUGAACUCCUGAAUCAUCAUGCCUAGCUGAGGUUCCCUACUUGACACCCAACUAAGAACCGUGUGCAAGUCAGAGUUUUCACCCUCAGCUGCAAACUAAGCUUGAGUUCAGGAGAAUCAGUGCAUUCAGGAAGUUUAGAUAUAGGAACUAACUCAGACUUGUCUAAAGCACUAAACUUAACAUAGGCAUCAUCCAACUGAACUUGCAAAUCGGGGCAAGACUUACAUGCACCAAGGAAAACAAGCCUAGUCUUGACCUCAUCUAAAGCAGCCCCAGUCAAAUCCAAUUCAUCUACUAGCAAAGCAUGCUUAGAUUGUAAAGAUGCAAGACUAUCCAUAUGAACAACACAUUCAUUAGACCCCAGAACAUGUUUGGGAGUGUUUUUGAGCAUUCGGUUUCCGCACGAAAAACAAUGCAAAACGGGUGCAUUUCGGCACCUGAAUGCACUAUUUCCGGGGUAGCGAAUGUCGGGUGGAUUUUUUCGCAACGAACGCAUCCAAUCUUCCUAAUUAUACCCUAGAACAUGUUUGGGAGUGUUUUCGAGCAUUCGGUUAUGGCACGAAAAAUGAUGCAAAACGGGUGCAUUUCGGCACCCGAAUGCACUAGUUCCGGGUAACGAAACUCGGGUGGAUUUUUUCGCAAAGGACGCAUCCAAUCUACCUCAUUAGACCCUAGAACAUGUUUAGGAGUUUUUUCGAGCUUUCGGUUUCCGCACGAAAAGUGAUGCAAAACGGGUGCAUUUCGGCACCCGAAUGCACUAUUUCCGAGUAGCGAAACUCGGAUGGAUUUUUUCGCAACGGACACAUCCAAUCUACCACAUUAGACCCUAGAAUAUGUUUGGGAGUGUUUUCGAGCAUUCGGUUUCCGCCCGAAAACCGAUGCAAAACGAGUGCAUUUCGACACCCGAAUGCACUAUUUCCGAGUAGCGAAACUCGGAUGGAUAUUUUCGCAACGGACGCAUCCAAUCUACCACAUUAGACCCUAGAACAUGUUUAGGAGUGUUUUCGAGCAUUCAGUUUCCGCACGAAAACCGAUGCAAAAUGGGUGCAUUUCGGCACCCGAAGGCACUAUUUCCGGGUAGCGAAACUCGGGUGGAUUUUUUCGCAACGGACGCAUCCAAUCGACCACAUUAGACCCUAGAACAAGUUUGGGAGUAUGUUCAAGCAUGUGGUGACCGCACGAAAAGCGAUGCAAAACGGGUGCAUUUCGGCACUCGAAUGCACUAUUUCUGGGUGGCGAAACUCGGGUGGAUUUUUUCGCAACGGACGCAUCCAAUCUACCUUAUUAGACCCUAGAACAUGUUUACCAGUGUUUUCGAGCUUCCGGUUUCCGCACGAAAAGCGAUGCAAAACGGGUGCAUUUCGGCACCCUAAUACACUAUUUCCGAGUAGCGAAACUCGGAUGGAUUUUUUCGCAACGCACGCAUCCAAUCUACCACAUUAGACCCUAAAACAUGUUUGGGAGUGUUUUUGAGCAAUCGGUUUCCGCACGAAAACCGAUGCAAAAUGGGUGCAUUUCGGCACCCGAAUGCACUAUUUCCGAGUAGCGAAACUCAGCUGAAUUUUUUCGCAACGGACGCAUCUAAUUGACCACAUUAGACCCUAGAAUAUGUUUGGGAGUGUUUUUGAGCAUUCGGUUUCCGCGCGAAAACCGAUGUAAAACGGGUGCAUUUCGGCACCCGAAUGCACUAUUAUCGGGUGGUGAAACUCGGGUGGAUUUUUUCGCAACGGACGCAUCCAAUCUACCUCAUUAGACCCUAGAACAUGUCUGGGAGUGUUUUCGAGCAUUCGGUUUCCGCACGAAAAGCCAGCAAAACGGGUGCAUUUCGGCACUUGAAUGCACUAUUUCCGGGUAGCGAAACUCGGGUGGAUUUUUUCGCAAUGGACGCAUCCAAUCUAUUAAUUAGACCCUAGAACAUGUUUGGGAGUGUUUUUGAGCAUUCGCUUACGGCACGAAAAAUGAUGCAAAACGGGUGCAUUUCGGCACCUAAAUGCACUAUUUCCGGGUAGCGAAUGUCGGGUGGAUUUUUUCGCAACGAACGUAUCCAAUCUUCCUAAUUAGAACAUGUUUGGGAGUGUUUUCGAGCAUUCGGUUUCCGCAUGAAAACCGAUUCAAAACGAGUGCAUUUCGGCACCCGAAUGCACCAUUUCCGUGUAGCGAAACUCGGAUGGAUUUUUUCGCAACGGACGCAUCCAAUCUACCUCAUUAGACCCUAGAACAUGUUUAGGAGUUUUUUCGAGCUUUCGGUUUCCGCACGAAAAGUGAUGCAAAACGGGUGCAUUUCGGCACCCGAAUGCACUAUUUCCGAGUAGCGAAACUCGGAUGGAUUUUUUCGCAACGGACACAUCCAAUCUACCACAUUAGACCCUAGAAUAUGUUUGGGAGUGUUUUCGAGCAUUCGGUUUCCGCCCGAAAACCGAUGCAAAACGAGUGCAUUUCGACACCCGAAUGCACUAUUUCCGAGUAGCGAAACUCGGAUGGAUAUUUUCGCAACGGACGCAUCCAAUCUACCACAUUAGACCCUAGAACAUGUUUAGGAGUGUUUUCGAGCAUUCAGUUUCCGCACGAAAACCGAUGCAAAAUGGGUGCAUUUCGGCACCUGAAGGCACUAUUUCCGGGUAGCGAAACUCGGGUGGAUUUUUUCGCAACGGACGCAUCCAAUCGACCACAUUAGACCCUAGAACAAGUUUGGGAGUAUGUUCAAGCAUGUGGUGACCGCACGAAAAGCGAUGCAAAACGGGUGCAUUUCGGCACUCGAAUGCACUAUUUCUGGGUGGCGAAACUCGGGUGGAUUUUUUCGCAACGGACGCAUCCAAUCUACCUUAUUAGACCCUAGAACAUGUUUACCAGUGUUUUCGAGCUUCCGGUUUCCGCACGAAAAGCGAUGCAAAACGGGUGCAUUUCGGCACCCUAAUACACUAUUUCCGAGUAGCGAAACUCGGAUGGAUUUUUUCGCAACGCACGCAUCCAAUCUACCACAUUAGACCCUAAAACAUGUUUGGGAGUGUUUUCGAGCAAUCGGUUUCCGCACGAAAACCGAUGCAAAAUGGGUGCAUUUCGGCACCCGAAUGCACUAUUUCCGAGUAGCGAAACUCAGCUGAAUUUUUUCGCAACGGACGCAUCUAAUUGACCACAUUAGACCCUAGAAUAUGUUUGGGAGUGUUUUUGAGCAUUCGGUUUCCGCGCGAAAACCGAUGUAAAACGGGUGCAUUUCGGCACCCGAAUGCACUAUUAUCGGGUGGUGAAACUCGGGUGGAUUUUUUCGCAACGGACGCAUCCAAUCUACCUCAUUAGACCCUAGAACAUGUCUGGGAGUGUUUUCGAGCAUUCGGUUUCCGCACGAAAAGCCAGCAAAACGGGUGCAUUUCGGCACUUGAAUGCACUAUUUCCGGGUAGCGAAACUCGGGUGGAUUUUUUCGCAAUGGACGCAUCCAAUCUAUUAAUUAGACCCUAGAACAUGUUUGGGAGUGUUUUUGAGCAUUCGCUUACGGCACGAAAAAUGAUGCAAAACGGGUGCAUUUCGGCACCUAAAUGCACUAUUUCCGGGUAGCGAAUGUCGGGUGGAUUUUUUCGCAACGAACGUAUCCAAUCUUCCUAAUUAGAACAUGUUUGGGAGUGUUUUCGAGCAUUCGGUUUCCGCAUGAAAACCGAUUCAAAACGAGUGCAUUUCGGCACCCGAAUGCACCAUUUCCGUGUAGCGAAACUCGGAUGGAUUUUUUCGCAACGGACGCAUCCAAUCUACCACAUUAGACCCUACAACAUGUUUAGGAGUGUUUUCGAGCAUUCGGUUUUCGCACGAAAACCGAUGCAAAAUGGAUGCAUUUCGGCACCUGAAUGCACUAUUUCAGGGUAGCGAAACUUGGGUGGAUUUUUUCGCAACGGACGCAUCCAAUCGACCACAUUAGACCCUAGAACAUGUUUGGGAGUGUGUUCAAGCAUGUGGUGACCGCACAAAAAGCGAUGCAAAACGGGUGCAUUUCGGCACUCGAAUGCACUAUUUCCAGGUGCAAAACUCGGGUGGAUUUUUUCGCAACGGACGCGUCCAAUCUACCUCGUUAGACCCUAGAACAUGUUUGGGAGUGUUUUCGAGCUUUUGGUUUCCGCACGAAAAGCGAUGCAAAACGGGUGUAUUUCGGCACCCGAAUGCACUAUUUCCAUGUAGCGAAACUCGGAUGAAUUUUUUCGCAACGGACACAUCCAAUCUACCACAUUAGACCCUAGAAUAUGUUUGGGAGUGUUUUUGAGCAUUCGGUUUCCGCGCGAAAACCGAUGCAAAACGGGUGCAUUUCGGCACCCGAAUGCACUAUUUCCGGAUAGCAAACUCGGGUGGAUUUUUUCGCAACGGACUCAUCCAAUCGACCACAUUAGACCCUAGAACAUGUUUUGGAGUGUUUUCAAGCAUGUGGUGACCACACGAAAAGCGAUGCAAAUUGGGUGCAUUUCGCCACCUGAAUGCACUAUUUCCGAGUAGCAAAACUCGGGUGUAUUUUUUCACAACGAACGCGUCCAAUCUACCUCAUUAGAUCCUAGAACAUGUUCGGAAGUGUUUUCGAGCAUUCAGUUUCCGCACGAAAAAUGAUGCAAAAUGGGUGCAUUUCGGCACCCGAAUGCACUAUUUCCAGGUGGCGAAACUCGGGUGGAUUUUUUCGCAACGGACGCAUCCACUCUACCUCAUUAGACUCUAGAACAUGUUUCGGAGUGUUUUCGAGCUUUCAGUUUCUACAUGAAAAGCGAUGCAAAAUGGGUGCAUUUCGGCACCCGAAUGCACUAUUAUCGGGUGGUCAAACUCGGGUGGAUUUUUUCGCAACGGACGCAUCCAAUCUACCUCAUUAGACCCUAGAACAUGUCUGGGAGUGUUUUCGAGCAUUCGGUUUCCGCACGAAAAGCCAGCAAAACGGGUGCAUUUCGGCACUUGAAUGCACUAUUUCCGGGUAGCAAAACUCGGGUGGAUUUUUUCGCAAUGGACGCAUCCAAUCUAUUAAUUAGACCCUAGAACAUGUUUGGGAGUGUUUUUGAGCAUUCGCUUACGGCACAAAAAAUGAUGCAAAACGGGUGCAUUUCGGCACCUAAAUGCACUAUUUCCGGGUAGCGAAUGUCGGGUGGAUUUUUUCGCAAUGAACGUAUCCAAUCUUCCUAAUUAUACCCUAGAACAUGUUUGGGAGUGUUUUCGAGCAUUCGGUUUCCGCACGAAAACCGAUUCAAAACGAGUGCAUUUCGGCACCCGAAUGCACUAUUUCCGUGUAGCGAAACUCGGAUGGAUUUUUUCGCAACGGACGCAUCCAAUCUACCACAUUAGACCCUACAACAUGUUUAGGAGUGUUUUCGAGCAUUCGGUUUUCGCACGAAAACCGAUGCAAAAUGGGUGCAUUUCGGCACCUGAAUGCACUAUUUCAGGGUAGCGAAACUUGGGUGGAUUUUUUUUGCAACGGACGCAUCCAAUCGACCACAUUAGACCCUAGAACAUGUUUGGGAGUGUGUUCAAGCAUGUGGUGACCGCACAAAAAGCGAUGCAAAACGGGUGCAUUUCGGCACUCGAAUGCACUAUUUCCAGGUGCAAAACUCGGGUGGAUUUUUUCGCAACGGACGCGUCCAAUCUACCUCGUUAGACCCUAGAACAUGUUUGGGAGUGUUUUCGAGCUUUUGGUUUCCGCACGAAAAGCGAUGCAAAAUGGGUGCAUUUCGGCACCCGAAUGCACUAUUUCCGUGUAGCGAAACUCGGAUGAAUUUUUUCGCAACGGACACAUCCAAUCUACCACAUUAGACCCUAGAAUAUGUUUGGGAGUGUUUUUGAGCAUUCGGUUUCCGCGCGAAAACCGAUGCAAAACGGGUGCAUUUCGGCACCCGAAUGCACUAUUUCCGGGUAGCAAACUCGGGUGGAUUUUUUCGCAACGGACUCAUCCAAUCGACCACAUUAGACCGUAGAACAUGUUUCGGAGUGUUUUCAAGCAUGUGGUGACCACACGAAAAGCGAUGCAAAAUGGGUGCAUUUCGCCACCUGAAUGCACUAUUUCCGAGUAGCAAAACUCGGGUGUAUUUUUUCACAACGAACGCGUCCAAUCUACCUCAUUAGACCCUAGAACAUGUUUGGGAGUGUUUUCGAACAUUCGGUUUCCGCACGAAAAGCCAGCAAAACGGGUGCAUUUCGGCACUUGAAUGCACUAUUUUCGGGUAGCGAAACUCGGGUGGAUUUUUUCGCAAUGGACGCAUCCAAUCUGUUAAUUAGACCCUAGAACAUGUUUGGGAGUGUUUUUGAGCAUUCGCUUACGGCACGAAAAAUGAUGCAAAACGGGUGCAUUUCGGCACCGAAAUGCACUAUUUCCGCGUAGCGAAUGUCGGGUGGAUUUUUUUGCAACGAACGCAUCCAAUCUUCCUAAUUAUACCCUAGAACAUGUUUGGGAGUGUUUUUGAGCAUUCGGUUACGGCACGAAAAACGAUGCAAAACGGGUGCAUUUCGGCACCCGAAUGCACUAGUUCCGGGUAGCGAAACUCGGGUGGAUUUUUUCGCAACGGACGCAUCCAAUCUACCUCAUUAGACCCUAGAACAUGUUUAGGAGUUUUUUCGAGCUUUCGGUUUCCGCACGAAAAGCGAUGCAAAACGGGUGCAUUUCGGCACCCGAAUGCACUAUUUCCGAGUAGCGAAACUCGGAUGGAUUUUUUCGCAACGGACACAUCCAAUCAACCACAUUAGACCCUAGAAGAUGUUUGGGAGUGUUUUCGAGCAUUCGGUUUCCGCAUGAAAACCGAUGCAAAACGAGUGCAUUUCGGCACCCGAAUGCACUAUUUCCGAGUAGCGAAACCCGGAUGGAUUUUUUUCGCAACGGACGCAUCCAAUCUACCACAUUAGACCCAACAACAUGUUUAGAAGUGUUUUCAAGCAUUCGGUUUCCACACGAAAACCGAAGCAAAAUGGGUGCAUUUCGGCACCCGAAUGCACUAUUUCCGGGUAGCGAAACUCGGGUGGUUUUUUUCGCAACGGACGCAUCCAAUCGACCACAUUAGACCCUAAAACAUGUUUGGGAGUGUGUUCAAGCAUGUGGUGACCGCACGAAAAGCAAUGCAAAGCUGGUGCAUUUCGGCACUCGAAUGCACUAUUUCUAGGUGGUGAAACUCGGGUGGAUUUUUUCGCAACGGACGCAUCCAAUCUACCUCAUUAGACCCAAGAACAUGUUUGGGAGUGUUUUCGAGCUUUCGGUUUCCGCACGAAAAGCGAUGCAAAACGGGUGCAUUUCGGCACCCGAAUGCCCUAUUUCCGUGUAGCAAAACUCGGAUGGAUUUUGUCGCAACGGACACAUCCAAUCUACCACAUUAAACCCUAGAAUAUGUUUGGGAGUGUUUUGGAGCAUUCGGUUUCCGCACGAAAACCGAUGCAAAACGGGUCCAUUUCGGCACCCGAAUGCACUAUUUCCGGGGUAGCGAAACUCGAGUGGAUUUUUUCGCAAUGGACGCAUCCAAUCGACCACAUUAGACCCUAGAACAUGUUUGGGAGUGUUUUCAAGCAUGUGGUGACCGCAUGAAAAGCAAUGCAAAACGGGUGCAUUUCGCCACCUGAAUGCACUAUUUCCGAUUAGCAAAACUCGGGUGUAUUUUUUCACAACGAACGCGUCUAAUCUACCUCAUUAGAUCCUAGAACGUGUUCGGGAGUGUUUUCGAGCAUUCAGUUUCCGCACGAAAAAUGAUGCAAAAUGGGUGCAUUUCGGCACCCGAAUGCACUAUUUCCGGGUGGCGAAACUCGGGUGGAUUUUUUCGCAACGGACGCAUCCACUCUACCUCAUUAGACCCUAGAACAUGUUUGGGAGUGUUUUCGAGCUUUCGGUUUCUACAUGAAAAGCGAUGCAAAAUGGGUGCAUUUCAGCACCCGAAUGCACUAUUAUCGGGUGGUGAAACUCGGGUGGAUUUUCUCGCAACAGACGCAUCCAAUCGACCACAUUAGACCCUAGAAUAUGUUUGGGAGUGUUUUCGAGCAUUCGAUUUCCGCACGAAAACCGAUGCAAAACAAGUGCAUUUCGGCACCCGAAUGCACUAUUUCCGAGUAGCGAAACUCAGAUGGAUUUUUUCGCAACGGACGCAUCCAAUCUACCACAUUAGACCCUACAACAUGUUUAGGAGUGUUUUCGAGCAUUCGGUUUCUGCAUGAAAACCAAUGAAAAAUGGGUGCAUUUCGGCACCCGAAUGCACUAUUUCCGGGUAGUGAAACUCGGGUGGAUUUUUUUGCAAUGGACACAUCCAAUCGACCACAUUAGACCCUAGAACAUGUUUGGGAGUGUGUUCAAGCUUGUGGUGACCGCACGAAAAGCGAUGCAAAACAGGUGCAUUUCGGCACUCAAAUGCACUACUUCUGGGUGGCGAAACUCGGGUGGAUUUUUUCACAACAGACGCAUCCAAUCUACCUCAUUAGACCCUAGAAUAUGUUUGGGAGUGUUUUCGAACUUUCGGUUUCCGCACGAAAAGCAAUGCAAAACGGGUGCAUUUCGGCACCCGAAUGCACUAUUCGUGGGUAGCGAAACUCGGGUGGAUUUUUUCGCAACGAACGCAUCCCAUCUUCCUAAUUAUACACUAGAACAUGUUUGGGAGUGUUUUUGGGCAUUCGGUUCCGGCACGAAAAACGAUGCAAAACGGGUGCAUUUCGGCACCCGAAUGCACUAUUGCCGGGUAGCGAAACUCGGGUGGAUUUUUUCGCAACGAACGCAUGCAAUCUUCCUAAAGAUGCACUAGAACAUGUUUGGGAGCGUUUUUGGGCAUUCGGUUCCUGCACGAAAAACGAUGAAAAACGGGUGCAUUUCGGCACCCGAAUGCACUAUUGCCGGGUAGCGAAACUCGGGUGGAUCUUUUCGCAACGAACGCAUGCAAUCUUCCUAAAUAUGCACUAGAACAUGUUUGGGAGUGUUUUUGGGCAUUCGGUUCCAGCACGAAAAACGAUGCAAAACGGGUGCAUUUCGGCACCCGAAUGCACUAUUGCCGGGUAGCGAAACUCGGGUGGAUGUUUUCGCAACGAACGCAUGCAAUCUUCCUAAAUAUGCACUAGAACAUGUUUGAGAGUGUUUUUGGGCAUUCGGUUCCGGCACGAAAAACGAUGCAAAAUGGGUGCAUUUCGGCACCCGAAAGCACUAUUGCCGGGUAGCGAAACUCGGGUGGAUUUUUUCGCAACGAACGCAUGCAAUCUUCCUAAAUAUGCACUAGAACAUGUUUGGGAGUGUUUUGGGGCAUUCGGUUCCGGCACGAAAAACGAUGCAAAACGGGUGCAUUUCGGCACCCAAAUGCACUAUUGCCGGGUAGCGAAACUCGGGUGGAUUUUUUCGCAACUAACGCAUGCAAUCUUCCUAAUUAGACCCUAGAACAUGUUUGGGAGUGUUUUUGAGCAUUCGGUUCUGGCACGAAAAACGAUGCAAAACGGGUGCAUUUCGGCACCCGAAUGCACUAUUGCCGGGUAGCGAAACUCGGGUGGAUUUUUUCGCAACGAACGCAUGCAAUCUUCCUAAUUAGACCCUAGAACAUGUUUGGGAGUGUUUUUGAGCAUUCGGUUCCGGCACGAAAAACGAUGCAAAACGGGUGCAUUUCGGCACCCGAAUGCACUAUUGCCGGGUAGCGAAACUCGGGUGGAUUUUUUCGCAACGAACGCAUGCAAUCUUCCUAAUUAGACCCUAGAACAUGUUUGGGAGUGUUUUUGAGCAUUCGGUUCCGGCACGAAAAACGAUGCAAAACGGGUGCAUUUCGGCACCCGAAUGCACUAUUGCCGGGUAGCGAAACUCGGGUGGAUUUUUUCGCAACGAACGCAUGCAAUCUUCCUAAAUAUGCACUAGAACAUGUUUGGGAGUGUUUUUGGGCAUUCGGUUCCGGCACGAAAAAUGAUGCAAAACGGGUGCAUUUCGGCACCCGAAUGCACUAUUGCCGGGGAGCGAAACUCGGGUGGAUUUUUUCGCAAUGAACGCAUGCAAUCUUCCUAAAUAUGCACUAGAACAUGUUUGGGAGUGUUUUUGGGCAUUCGGUUCCGGCACGAAAAACGAUGCAAAACGGGUGCAUUUCGGCACCCGAAUGCACUAUUGCCGGGUAGCGAAACUCGGGUGGAUUUUUUCGCAACGAACGCAUGCAAUCUUCCUAAAGAUGCACUAGAACAUGUUUGGGAGUGUUUUUGGGCAUUCGGUUCCGGCACGAAAAACGAUGAAAAACGGGUGCAUUUCGGCACCCGAAUGCACUAUUGCCGGGUAGCGAAACUCGGGUGGAUCUUUUCGCAACGAACGCAUGCAAUCUUCCUAAAUAUGCACUAGAACAUGUUUGGGAGUGUUUUUGGGCAUUCGGUUCCAGCACGAAAAACGAUGCAAAACGGGUGCAUUUCGGCACCCGAAUGCACUAUUGCCGGGUAGCGAAACUCGGGUGGAUUUUUUCGCAACGAACGCAUGCAAUCUUCCUAAAUAUGCACUAGAACAUGUUUGGGAGUGUUU
RNAcentral lists this long non-coding RNA (58923 nucleotides) under Setaria viridis. RNAcentral describes it as "long non-coding RNA (SVIR_LNC003227)". The record is from RNAcentral. Lineage: Eukaryota; Viridiplantae; Streptophyta; Magnoliopsida; Poales; Poaceae.